This 56474-nucleotide long non-coding RNA is filed under the name Coffea arabica (coffee). RNAcentral describes it as "long non-coding RNA (CARA_LNC001644)". Lineage: Eukaryota; Viridiplantae; Streptophyta; Magnoliopsida; Gentianales; Rubiaceae. The record is from RNAcentral.
UUUUUUUUUUUUUUUUUUUUUUUUUUUUUUUGUUGAUAAAUAUACAUGAGAGAUUAGUCGACGGCGUGGUUGCUUAAGAACCACCCGAUCCAUAAGUGCCGCCAUGCACCCAAGCUGUUGCCAAUUAGAUCACCGCUCCCACUCGUCCCGAUGCAGCGCUGGCAAAUUGCUUUCUGCCGUCACAACCGUGCGAGCUAGCAGCCAAUCAAGACAUUGGCCAAGCAGAAUACGAGUAAUCAUGGGAUAUUGGCAUAUUUUAUUGCCCCUGUUUAAAAGGCAAGAAGAUGUUUUGGGAGUACAUGGGCUUGAACAGCAAAACAUUUCUAUUGUUUGGAUACAAUAAAAUUAUUUUUUUAAAAAAAUCAUUUGAUUACUUUAUAAAUACAUUUUUCACUCCUCAUGCUUUUCCUAGUAUUGUUGCCCUCUUUAAGAACUAGUUAUUUUUUCCAUUUUGUUCUGGAUAUUUUGUCCGUGCACAUUUAAUAAAACUUCCAUAUCACUUGAGAUGGUCUCAACAAAUAUAGGAUUAGAGUGGAUCGGACAAUCAAGCAACCAAGAAGCCUAGUGGGCAUGGUGCCCAAGUUUAAACCUCUUUUGUUUUCGACUAAUCGUCAACUCUUAUACUACUUCUAUCUCUACUCGUGCUCCAAUAUAACAUGUCUAAGGGAGGACUUAGUUAGGUCGGAAGAUUAAAGGGGAUGAUUCGAAUUUUAUUACGGGUAUAGAUGUUUGAGAUUCCUGGCCUGCAAUCGGGCUUAGUACCUUAUAUUUUACCCGAGCCAAGUUGACUGGUGGCCCAAGAUUAAUAAGAGCACCAAUUAUCAAGUGAUGGUCCCAUGUAUGAGCUGGGAUAGGACACCGGCACCUUUUAAUGCCUCAAAUCAAGAUGUACGAGUCAUGCUCGUGCAUGCAUUCGAAGAAACAUCCAACUUCUUUUUAACUUCUUCUAACCAUUUUUUGCCGAUGAUAACAAUUCGAUCGGCUAUUAAUAACGAGUGAUCCAAGAGACAAGAGGAGCACAUGAUAGAGCUUUUAACGUUUGACUGGGACAGAGAGGGACGAAGAAACCAAAGCCACUGGCUAGUCGCACGAGCUGCAUCCCUUUUGAUUAAUUUGGCCGGCAGACAGCAGCGAACGGACUAUAUUUCAGUGGCGGUACAGAUAUAGUAAUAAUUUUGAUCAUGUUCAAAAACAACCCAUUAAUCAAUAACCCUUUGUUCUGGUGGCCGGGAAGUUUUCAAGUUCAAUAAACUGUGAAAUCUGCAGCAAUUUGUGUGUGUGCCCGUGUGUUGGCAGUGGCACUCCUUUCUAAAAAUCUUCAUGCGUCUGGUGUGUAGGAAUGCAAACGAACCGAAUCGAGUUGAAUUUUGGUCUAAUCGAACCGAGACUCAAGUUAAUUUUAAGAAAUUCGAACUCGAGUUCGACGAGUUCAAAACGUCAAACUCGAGCUCGAGUUAAAAAAAAUAAAAAAUAAUUAUUUUUUAACAAAUAAUAAAAUAUUAGGAAUAUAUAUGUAAUUUUAAUAUUAAAAUAAAAAUAAAAAAAUAUAUAAUUGAGCUCGCGAGCCACUCAACGAGUUUGAUAUUUUUGAACUCGAGUUCGAUAUUGAUCGAGCUUAUAUUUGAGCUGUUCGCGAUCGAUUCGUUUGUAACACUAGUCUCAUGUUUUUCUCCUUUGAGAUUAACACAUGUGCUUAUGUAAACAAAUCAAUUGUAUGCCCAAGUUUGCCUAUAAACAUAGCGGCUUAGGGUUUGCAAUGGUCUGCUUGGGGCAAAACCUAUUUCCUGUUAGCUUAUAUAUGAAUCUCUACUUAAUUGCGGCUUAAUCUUGGAAUCAAUGGGCAAAGAGGAAUUUAGCUAGCGAUGGUUAUUUUCGUUAGUAAACAAAUGUUUUGAUCUGAUCAAUGUUGAAGAACACAUGUACGUGCCUCAUUGUGCUUGUCAAUUCUGAGAGAAAGAAAAAAAAGAGGAUUAAUUUUCUAUUGAACCACAGAGAGGCAGAAUAUCGUUGGGAGGAGUUCCAACUUCCUUUUAGAAUUUGAUUUUCACGGGCACAGGGGAACGAGUAACCAGUGCACGUUGGAACGAGUAGCCCGAAAAAACACAACAAAUCUUGACAGGUUCUAAUUAAAAAAAUUAAGGGCAUAAAAAAGCAAAAUUAGAUUGAAAUGUGUGCGCACGUGCAGACAUGUGUGUGUGUGAAAUCUGUGGAAGCUCCUCCUAAUGCACACGUGCAUACAUGUGUGUGUGAGUGCGUGAAAAACUGAGAGCAGGAAAGAGGAAGAAGCUAAUGAAGGCCUAAAAGGGGAGAGAAGAUGGCUCCCAGAACCCUGCUCAGUGGUGUUCACUCACUGUGACUGUCACUGAGGCGGGCAGAUGAUUUUGCAGACUUUCUUGGUAAGUAGUAGUACUGCUGUUGACGAGGGCCGAUUUUUAAGACAUAAUCCGCUGUGUCUUAAGCACACCACAUCAGUUGUUCCUUUCAAAGCAUGACCAUUCGGACUGAUCAUCAGACUGAAUCUGCAUUCUUUUUUUUUUUUUUUUUUCUAUAUUACAUGUACAAUCCAAUGUGUAGGAGUAAUAUUAUACUAUACCAGGCCACUUGCGUUCAAUCCCAGUGAAUAUUAACUUCUUCAUUACUGCUUCUUUUGUUUUGUGGAGUCAGAUUUUUCUUGAACAACUAGCUAGCUAGCCAGCAGUCAAAGGAUGCCUUUCGUUGACUGAGUAUCUAAAACUAAAUCCCUUUUGCUUUCCUUAUUUAAUUAGUUGUCCAUGAUGGUCUACUAAAUCUGAACUACCCCUUCCUUCACCUAAAUCUAUCGAUAAAACACAAUACUAGUACUACAUGAAGAAACUAAUAAGCUGCAAUGGAUUUGGUAGAUGUACCAGAUAUAUAGGUCAAACGACACGUGGCACUCAACUCUCAAACGAAGGGGGAAAAAAAAAGAAAAAAGAAAAAAGAAAAAGAUUAACAAGAAUCCUACUUAUGGUUUUGUGUAGUAAUACUUAAAACAUGUGUAGUAGAAAAAUAUAUAAGGUGUCCGACUAUAAAGAAAAAAAGAAAAGAAAAGGAUGUAUAUAGAAAGGGCAGAGACAGAGAAAGCAAUAUAUUAGUACAUAGGUGCAGUAGAUAGUAAGAGAGAGUGAGUGAUAGGUGUCCAAAUACUGAGGAAGGGAAGAUGGAGGUGUACCGUAGCCUGUAAAAAGCAGCGUACAAUUCUGCCUCGCUGUCCAGCAUGUGAAGGAGUUGUGGUUCCGUUCUCCCAUUCAUUCAUUCAUUGAUUCAUUCGUUCAUUCAUUCCCUUUCUGUCUCUCUCUCUUUCUCAGCAUUUGCCAGUACUGUUGUUGCUACCAUUUAAACCCAAGCCCAACUGGCACCUUUUGGUUCACUCUCAUUGAGAGCCAGCCGAACGGGGUACGUCAGGACAAAACAGGUCUUAGAUUUGAGCCUGAUUCUCUCCUUUGGUCUUUUCCUCCUCCUCCUCCUCUUCUUCUGCUUUUUCUUCAGUACAGAGGAGCCAAAUUUAGCUGGUUUUCUCUCUUCAUUUUUUUUCUUUCCUCUCUUGAUUCACUUAGUCCAGAAAGAAAUAGUAACAGAAAAAAAUGGACUACUUUGUGGCUAGCACUCCUAAAUCAGAGUGCAGCAGCGGAUGUGAGUCUGGCUGGACUCUGUACUUGGGCAACUCCUUUAUUUCUUCGCAUAGUAAUAGAGAAAAUGGUAAUUUUGUUGAUGGAAAGCGUGGUUUUAGUGAAGAAAAGAGAAGUGAGGAAGAGGAGGAGGAUUUGUCAAUGGUUUCUGAUGCAUCUUCUGGACCUCCACAUUGCCCUGAAGAAGAAGACUGCAUGUCCAAUAUUAAUGACAACAAUGCUGCUCGCUGCUUUUUCCAUGCUGGUGAUGCCACCACAUUAUGCAAAAGCAGAAGCCGCAAAAAGCAGAAAACUUUAGAAAAUCACUGCCGGAUGAAGAAGGCAGUCCGUGAAAAAUCAUCUUUACUAGAUGAUACUGCCAGUUCUCCUGUCUUCGAAAUGGACCUCCCCGAUGUCAGUUCUGAUCAUUAUAAAGUUGCAUCGAGAGUAUACACCUUCUUUUAUAUUAUCCCUAGCUCGAUCUCUUCAAAUUUCAAUGCUCGCUUUAUAGACCAGAUUUUAACUUCAAUAUUUGAUCGCCAUUUCACAGAAAGAUUUCAACCUCCCCAACAAUCAUGGUUCAGCUGAGAUGGUUUUAGAUUUUUCUCAGGGCUAUUCUACAACCCAUUUCGAGGUAGCCCAUCAGAACAUUCGUUCAACUAUAAAAAUUAAGUAUUUAUUUCGUUUAUGUAUUGACCUUGAUUAGGCUAGCAUAUGCUUAUGCUUAGGUAUGCUCACAAAUUGUUACAACCGACAAUUUCAUUUCUGCAGGAGGAAAGCUCUGCAUACCACUUGCAGGAUCAAUACGGUUUUUUCCAUUCUUCUUUAUCUGGAAACUAUCUGCCUGAAAACCAGUUGAGUUUUGGCUAGUUGCACUUUCAUUCCAGAAAAAAAAAAAAAACUCGUCAAAAACAGCGUCUAACUUUUAAUUAUUCUCAACAGGUGGUAUGGAAGCAGGGGGUGGCAGCGGUGACAUGAAACUGUCUGCAACAUUCAGCAAUUUGUUGCUGCUGCUGACGAUGAAUAUGUAGUUGUAGUAGGUAGACUGGAGGAAAGGUCAUCAAAAAUUAUGUACCCCAAAAAAAAAGAAAAAGAAAAAAAAAGGUUGUCGAAAAUGCAAAAGUAACUGGAUCUCAAAAGAGAUCUUGUUGCUCUCCCUUUCUUCCUUUUUUUUGUUUUUUGUUUUGUUUUUAAUGUCUUUUUCUUUUCUUUUCCCUACUGCUGCCAAUGCAGUGGUGAACAACCAGAGAGAGGGAGAAAAAUAAAAAAAAGGUGUGGGGAUCAGUUUCUUGUUUCUCGAAAAAAUUCCAUUUUCUUGUCAAUGAAUGAUUGGUACAAAUGGGCUCCAAUUCUCUGACGAAAAUAUAUCGCACAAAUAUGUCAAAUACUACCUUGCCUUGAUCUUUUGAAUAGAAAGAAAGCCUCGUCAGAUACAAACUUACAGAUUCUCAAGAAGCAAUUCUUUUGUUCCUGAUCUGGCAGGGGAAGCUGCAUGCUAAUAUUAGUAGUAUUAUUCUUUCUUACAUAAUAUAGUUAUGCUAACUUUGACUUGUCAUGUCACUCAUCAAGCUAACUUUCAUAGUAUUUAAUAGUCAAAUUUGGCAUCACAAAACAGCAUUGAAACAUGCUAGAAUUCCUAUGUCCUUUCCAGAAUGGGGCUUGAGGGACCAUGUCAGUUGUCGAUGGUCAGAUGCUGAAGCACAAAUGCUGCGUUAUUUGAGUUGGAGAUUUUGAUACAAAGAGAUUUCAAGAAAUCAUUUGAGCUUUGAUAUGAAAUGCCAAGGACAAAGCGGCAUUCCGACCAUGCAAUUAAGAAUCUCCUCUCCGAAGAGGCAUUACAUAAUUCUUGACAGCUAGUUAUAUUUUAACUCGUCCACCUCAAUGAACUUGAUGGGAGAACGGGGGAAAAAAAGAAGAAUUUUGUUUAGGUAGGAUUCUAUCCAAUGUAUAUAUGUAAGAAACUAAGAAAGCCCUCAGCAUUCGCAGUACUAGCAGUAGAACAAAAUCUUUUAAAAGACUUGAUUAUAGACCCCAAUGUCUCAAAUUUUCCGGACAAGACUCCAUCUACGAUCUAGUAAUUCUCCUACUCAUAAUAAUUCGAAAUUUUAGCUUUUAUACCACACCAAACCCAAAAAAAGAGAGAGAAAAAAAAAAAGAAAUGAUGAGAUAAUGAAGUGAAAUAUGUGAUGGGCAGACGGUCAGAAAAGUACAAAGGGGAGGAAGUGCCAAAAUUAAUGUUGGAAUAUGUCAUACUGCAUCUUCAUGAUCCCCCCUUUUUCUUCAUGCUCAGAGAUCCUUCGUGAGAUCUUCUUGACCCGAUGCAACAUCACCAAUUAUUUUAAAGUGGUGUCUUUAUCCCUUUGGAAGGUUUCUUACCAUGAUUCAUAAUCUAAUUUAUACGAGUAUGUUCGCCAACUCCAAUUGAAAAAACAAGAAUCAAAGUUAAAUUGAAAGCCAACCAACCGGCUGUCCUUUCUUUCUUUCUUUCUUUCUGCUUUUUUUUUUUUCCGUUACAAGAAGGAAAAAUUAAAGGGUUUCAGCAGAUUAGCUUUAAACUAUAUGCUUAAUUGUUACAAGUUGGUACCAUAACCAGGACAAGGCUCAAAGACUCUGUGUUACGUUGAGAAAUGGGAGUCAGCUUCUCCCACCAGUGUAAUUAAAGAAUUUGUUGUUUAAAAUCUGAAAUCUGGCACUAAUAGGAGACAAUGGAAUGAAUGGCUAUAGACAAAGUAAAGAAAUAAUCAAGAGAUUGGGAGAGGUGACUGGGCUCUGCCUCCAUCCCCGCUUCUUUUCACGCUCCAAAGAACCAUACUGUAUUACGUUUAGGAAUCCAAAGGGUAUGGGAACGACAAUUUUGCCUUACCAACUACCACCAGGACAAAGCCCUCAGUCGUUUGUACACAGGAGGAGGAAAGGGCGAAGAUUUUUAUUUCUCCUACUCUGCUACUAGUAGUAUUAAACAAACAUCUUUGCCUCUGACCCUCAAUUCAAUUUUCACUCAGGACUGUUCCCAUUUCUCAUGACAACAGUCAAUCUUUGCUACAGAAAUGGUAAAAUGGCCUUCCUCUGUCCGUAUCCAUGCCAUUCCCACUUCUCAGAGGCGAGAGGACCUAAAAUCUACCACAGCGCCACAGGGAUGUGGUGUAAAUCAGCCAGUUAUACGGUAACAUGCAUAGAAGUGUACUUAGAUCUACCCUUUAGAUCAGACAUCACCGUAUUGUUGUAACAGGGACUGGAGCUCGUUAACCAAUUACUCUGUCAGAGUACGCGGCCACCAACACGAGUGUUAAGGCUCUAUUUGGGUGUAGGUCGAAUCCUUUAACCUGCAUUCUAAAAAUUCACACACGGAAUCCUUAGUGUCACUCUUCCAAUGACAAUUCAGUGUCACUUCUAUAUUUAUGUCAAGUGUCAUGUUUAUUUAAUUUGUUAUGUGCUAUUUAUUUAAAUUGCUUCUAUCAUCACAUGAUAAGUGGGAUUGACACUGGAUUUGGCACCGAGUAGUGACAUGGAGGGUCCCGAUUGAAAAAUGCAGGGCUUUCUAGAAUGUUUCGCCAGCGGGUACUUAGGCAUCCUUCUGGACCAGUGAUGAUUCAGUCUUCUCGGAUUCCCUCUUGGCCUCGUUGGGCCAUCCCCUUCCCAUAGUAUAAUACUACUGGCAAGGUAAACUUUUGACCUUGUAUUUAUUCGUUUGUUAACAAAAUUUUUAUUUUUUUGGUCAAUAAAAAAAUAUUAGGAUUUUUAGAAUAAUUCAGUAACCAAAAAAUUCUUAUUUUUAAAACUAAAAGAAUGAACUUAAUUCCACUUCAUAUUGAUUACAUCAACUCAAGAGAUGAUGAAAAUUUUCUAUUUUAUAGAAAAUUGAAAAUGGGUCAAUUUUUGAGUGUAAUCCGGUUAUUCAAAACUUUUAUUACUCAUUUAUUUGUUUGUUGUACAAAAAAACUUUUUGAAUUCCCAAUAGAAAAUUGGAUUUGCCCAAGAUCUUUGGAAUUCAUUUAUGUCUUUGAGGAGUGGCUUGUUUUGAUUUUGAUGCAUUUCAUGUGACUGGCUUAUAUGGUCCCGGAAUAUGGAUGUCCGAUCCUUAUGGACUAACGGGCAAAGUACAACCCUUAAAUCUGGCAUGGAGCUUGGAAGGUUUUGAUCCUUUUGUUCGGGAGGAAUAACCUCCCUUCGAAUUUCCUUUUUGGCCCCGUUGGGCCACCCCUCCCCAGAGUAUAAUACAACUAGCAAAGGAUCUUUGUUACUCCCUCCGUCCCAAUAAGUUUGUCACUUUUGGGGAAUUGUGUUUUUUAUCAACAGUGGUCAAAGAGUGAAGGAAUUGUGUUUGCUUUCCGUUUCUAUCCUUCAUUUAUUGGUGGGAAAAUAUGUAACUUUAAAACCAUUUGAAUAUUUGAAGGUACAUGUGGGGCCAAUAUAUUAUCUUUUGUGCCUAAAUCAAAGAGAAAGUGGGACCCACAACAUUAUUUUAAGAUUUCUUGUGCAAGUGCAUGAAGGGUAAAAAUUGGAAUGUGUUACAAAAUUAUUAGCCAAAUUUGGUAAGAUGACAUAAUUUUGGGACAGACCAAAAAGGAAAGUAUGACAGUUUUAAUGGGACGGAGGGAGUACAAUUUUUUUUGUUCCACUGCUUAUCUGGUUGACAUGUGUCCUGUCCUAUAUGUAACAAGUUUUAAAACAUCUGUAAGUGUUAGUUUAACAAGUUGCAUAAUAGAAUAAAGUAUAAUAGGGAAAUGUUUAGCGGAAGACCCCGAGGUUGAUAUACACAAUUCUGCUUUUGCCCAAAAAACAGAAGGAAACAUCUCAAGGAAAGAGUUCCAUUAGAAAAAGGAUAUUAAAAUUACAAAAACAAAAAAAAAACUAUUAUUACCAAAGGUAGAAAUCAGAGUAGAACACUUGAGCAUAGUAAUAAAUAUCGCGUAAAAAACCUGGAUUUAGCUAAUUCCAAGAAGCCCUGAAAUUCUUCAUGAAUAUAGUCCACAGAACGUGAAACCAGUGGUAUCAUUAACCAGGAUUUAACGAAUCCUAAUUGAUAGUCGCAUCUCACCACACUCCCCAAGAUAGACAUUGAUCUAUAUAUAUAUUAAUAUAUAUAUAUAGAGCAGACUUAGUAGUAGUUGGUUUGUUUCUCUGGUUAAAAUUGAUUCUGGCGUAUAGGUGGGUCGGACCACUUGAAUGCAAUGCAACCACCAAAUUAUGCAGCAUCGGUGGGGCGAUUGGUUAUCAGCGACCGGACGGCUCAACAGAAACUCAAACCUACAUGGUAAAGGACUUGACAAAGCUCUCCCAAAAACAAAACCUAAAAUCCCAUAGAGAAAGAGAGCCCCUGAAGGUUUACAAAUAACACAUGAUAAUUAUAAUUUGGGGGAUCGUGUCGGAAAGCCAAGUCCACUUGCUGUCAUUACCUAAAAACCACGUCAUCUGAGCAGCGAAAAAAAUCUAAGGGUUGUGUCAUAACACUCCCUUGGUCUAGUUGGGUCUAUAUACCCACUAGCCCCUACCACAGCCACCUUAGGCUCCCCUUCCCCCUAAAUUAGGAUAGAGUAGGUUAUACAAAUGUAUCGUUGCUGACAAAAAAAAAAAAAAAAAGAUCAUCGACGCUUGCAAUUGACUAAUGCAUGAGGAAUGUUUGGCGUACUAAAGAGGGCAAAACCAUCAGAACACUAAUAGUUACUCCGGAGAAAAGCAUGUUUAAGAAUGAGGAAAUUUAUUAUCAAAAAAAAAAAAAAAGAAAGAAAGAAGAAACAAACCAAAUUAAUGGCGGAUGCGUUUACAAGUGUUUGCCAAAAAUGUACCAUAUAGCUAAUCCUAGCCACUGUGUUAAGAUGUAAGAAAACAAUUAUAUCAACUAUGGUAUGGUAUGGUAGUAGAAUGAUGGGAUUUUUUACUAGUUAUGGAAGUAGACCAGAAUCACGGCACUUUAGGAAUUAAGCAAUCAACAUCAUCGUCAUCCCCCACGCCCCUUAUUUCCUUCAACCACUAUCAGCAUCAAGACAGUCACGGCCCUACACUCCAUAUGGAUUCAAUUAUCCUCGCCUUUAAAGCACAAAAGGACAGCAAUUUGGAUAUUACAUUUACAUACUCACUUAGGUUCAAGGGAUGUCAAUGAAAUGAUCUUGAAAUCUAUACCAGUCAUCAAAACAGUCUCAACGAUGAUUCAACGGUGAUAGCGUAUACAUUGUCAGUAUAUAUAAGAUUUACUCUACAUAGAUUAAUCUUUCCUACACUGACAGUAUAUAUAUUAUCACCGUUAGAUAAAUGAAAACUAUACAAAAUUUAGAUUUGAAAGUCAACACUUUGAAAUAUGAAAACCACUCAUCAGAACAAAAAUCAAGAGAUGAGUUGUAAGGCUGGUCAACUCGCAAAGAUCUCCCUCCUUACAAACUAUUAAAUUUUCGCCAGCUACCAGGGCUGCCAUAGGAUGCAUAUUGGCUGACGAUGACUACGUUCAAACUUCCAAUACCGAGUCAUAUAAAUUUAAUCAAUUCAAACUCCUGUAAAAUUUAAAAAAAAAAAAAAAAUCCCAUGCAUGCAUCUAAAAAUUAUCUUCCAUGUAAAAAUUAUUCACUACAGCAAUCUUUUGUGCCUAUAACAGGCAAUAGCAACCCCAUACAAGAGAAGCGUACCAGCAAUACCGCCACCAAUCAUCCGGAGAAAAUUUUGCGUCCCAUAUUCUUUGUCACCCCAUGCAUCUAUGUGAAUGUUUAUCCCAAAUAUUCCUUCCACAGCUAUGAAAACUCCCAACACAAGGGUUGCUGUCAUUAUCAUAACCACCAUUUGCAGCAGUUGGUUACGUUUAUCAUCCUGCACGAUGUUCACAUAAUCUUCUGUGUCAUCCAUGUGCUCCCUCAGCUUCCAAAAAUAAAGAGUGUUAGAACCCUAGUAUUAACAUACCUUGCUACGCUGGGGGUGUAACACUGUGGAAAUCAAACUUACAGCUGCAUCCGGAAAACUUACAAGCAAAACUAAUCCAAAUAUCUUAAAUGCAUGUAAAUGCAAUGCUUUCUACAUCCAUAUUAUUUUCUAAACUCGGCAUGGACCAUGACGUGCUUUUGAUAAAACUAAAAUUUGGAGUUUCAAAUCUAAAAUAUAAAUAUGUUAAAUCACUGAAUUGUUAAGUAUUGACAUCCUAACAUUUGAAUGUAUUUAAUAUUAAGUGACAUGUGAAUAGCUUUUCACUUAAUUUUUGGAGUAAGUUUUGUCUAGAUAAUUUGAUGUUGUAUUUUUUGUUAUCAAACACGUCUAAAUAUAUUAAGAUUUGAAUCCAUUAAAUUAAAUUGUUAAAUUAAGUUAUCAAACAAGGCAUUGGGCCAUAAGACAAGCAUUCAAACAGGAGACGGUGACUAGAGAAACAAGAUGAAUGACAUACUGUGGAUAACUUGUUCAAUGUACCAUCAAUCUGAAUGAAAUAUGCUUCCAAAAGCAUUUCGAGAUCUCCCACAUGAAGUUGUUUGCUUCUGGAACUGCGCCUUGAAUUGGUAUGGCAUAGACUACUUUCAGCGUCAACCAAAUUAGAAUCACAAAAUAAAUGUUCCUGCUGGUUGUGUAAUUGUUGAAUACCUGCAUCACAACUGUUGGGCCCCCAAUUGAGUAGAGAUUUCAGAGGGAAAACCUUAUACUUAUCAGGAUGAGAUAUUUAACAAUCGAGCAGGAAGCCAAAAACAGCAUGUUUGAGAAAAUGCUCAAUGUAAAGCAUAAAGUAGUGCUGAAGCAAGGGGAGAUAAAAAAAAAAAAGUUAUGUAUCAUACAUGUUUGGCUGUUUAGCUUCUUCAUCAGUUGUGGCAAAUUCCUCAUCGAUAGAGGAAUUUGAAGAAUUUUCAAGUUGCCAUUCUAUAUGUUUGUCAGUCAGAUACAUCCCAGCCAUAUCUUGAUCAUCAUUCAACAGACUUUCUAACUCAUCGCGAACCUGGAGACAAAGGUCUUUGCAUCAUUUGUCAGGAAAAAGAUACCAUAAUGGUUCAUCUGAUAUUGAGCAAAACUAUACUACCACUAAAAAGUUGAAAAUAGCAUAAUGGUAGAUGGUUUGGGAGAGGAGGACUGUGGGAUCAGUACAUAUGCCCAACACAGGGAUUUUAAUAGCGGUCAAGAAAGUUAUUGUAUCAGAGACAGAGAAGCUGAGAAACAAUCAUCAAGAAAGCUGCAAAGAAGAGCCAACAGAUUUCAAAAGAGAUAAAAAGGCUCGAAACUCGUGCUGCAUGUGUAACAGAGAAAAGAUCCCCAAGUUAAAAAGAAAUCUCCUGCAGUUUUCUCGAUAAUGAUCCUGGCUGCCAAUUUUGCACAACCAAUCGGGAGAGUAUAAAACCUGCUAAUAUAGUUUGAGGGAGGUCCGGGAAACCAAAUUCGUUUGCAGCUUGAGUCCAGUGAAUUUAACAAGUCUAACGAGGGUUUAAGGAGUUUCUGCAACUACAUUAAUGACCUGAGGUAAUACAGGUAUACUCACAUUACGAAAUACAAUCAGUUCUUACGUUCACAAAAUUUUCUAAAUGUUAGGCUGGGUUAAAUGGUGCUUAAAGAGAGAAUAACCCCGACGGGAAAGUAUAAGCACUCCACUACGUGGGCUGCAUAUCUCAUGAACUCAAUGAAGCAAAUACUUUUGCCAUAAAAACACAGUGAAAUUAGUGAGUUUAUACAACAUCACAUCCUUGAAUUACUAAUAUGAACAAAGAACAAAAUAUACAAGUGGUGAAUUAGGUGUAAUCCUCAAAAUAAUCUCGAAUCACUUAUUGGAGUUACAAAGCUCUUUAAAAAUGAAGCAUAUAAGAAGUGUGGUUUGGACCAUUUUGAGAGGCAUUUGUCAAGGUCAAGAUAAAAAUAGAAAAUCGUUGAUAAAUUUAACCAAACAAUCUUAAGUUAAUUAAAUAUUGAUUUUUCGUCCAAAACUAAUUUGAGAGCCAAAGGAAAAAAGUUGAUUCAAGUAGUAAUAUUAGAAGUUGUUUGAAUUUCAACCUUUUGCACACGUUUGGUUAAUGGAAUCAGUCGGCCUUUGAUUUGCUGCACUUGCUCUAAGUUGAGGCUACUAAUAUUGGAGGUCAGUUUAUUAAGAGCAGGACGAACUUCUUUCUCCAAUGCCCCAACCUAAAAUUAAACCACACAACAAUUAAUUCAAAAAAAAUGUCAAUUCAAAUCGCAAAAGUUUUCGGAAUCAGGGUAAAUAUUGCAUGAGAUGAAUGCAACAGAAUUCACUUCAUAACCAGAGUGAAGAAUGGAUAUUUUUACUUCAUUCUCCAAGCAACUGCAAGCAGACUCAAGGCAUGCCUCCAAGGCAACAAACUCAAGUGGAAGUAGCUUUGGUCCGUCCUUGCUCUCUGCAAUAUGUCGUUUGCUACCUCCUAGACCUUCAUUCAUGUUUAGGGGGCUUCUGGAACAACUUGAAGCAAUAAAGGCUCUUGAUUGAGGCUCUUCCAAAUUGUAGAAGUCCACAUUGUCCCCCUUCAAGACCACAUCAAAUAGUGAUAAAUUUAUUUUUACAUCUGUCAAAGCUUCUUAUGUAUAUUCUUGUAAAAUACUUUUUCUUCAACUACUUUUGAUCUUUUUAGAGGAUUCCAUUUUUGACUGCUCAUUAAUACUAUUGGUUUCUUAACACUCUACCUCAAACAGGAUUCCAGAUUUCACUUUGAGGGUUUAGAAAGUGAAGUUUAAGCCGAAAUGUUUGUAUAAAACCUCUUCAAUUCCUAUAGUAUCCGUCUUCCCUAAAUAUAUGAAUGCAAGUGAAUUCAUCAAUUUUGAUUUAAAAAUCCAGAGAAAAUUCCUUACAACUCCAGAAAUUCAACCCGAAAUUAUGCUUGUAAUAUACUAAAAGCCAAAACAGUUGGGCUUGUUCAAUUGCUAUGAAAGGCAGUUGGCAAUGCGUCACGCACAAUACAUCUAUCAACAAAUAGUUCAAUGCAGAUUAUCAGCACUGUCCCAAUCACCUAACACAGGCCAAAAGCAUCCGUGCUGGAACUUAUUUGGCCAUCAGACGUCAAAGAUAUGGCCAUCAUUGCCGGUGAUUUUGAUACUGAUGCAAUGUGGCUACUCCCAAUUGAAUACCAUUUUCUGAACAUGUUAGGUUUCAAAAAGUUGCUGGGCAAGUGUACACAAGAUUUCACAGAAAAAAGAAAAACUAUUUUAAAUGUUCCCAUGGCUUGUGGAUGAAACUUUCUACACUAGUCAAUGUAGGAACGAUAAAUCAACAAAUUGAGCAGCCAAUCAGUCACAAAGCACUAGUGCAGUAGUGGACAUGUACCAACGGGGUGAGGACAGCUUGGUGGUGGCGGAAGAUUUUCAGGCGCAGCUCCUCAACGAAGGGAGCAACAGAAGGGUCUUUAGAAUUGAGCAAGAUGACCUCAUGGGCAGUGAUAAUGGCCUUGAUAUGCUCGAGGCUCACCACAAUAGCCCGCUCCCGGCUGAGCAAGGUGGCCGGGUAGCCGAGGAGCGGGUCCAGAAUACGAAGAUCCCGGGUCUGCAGACCAGUGCGCCUCAUGAUUGCAUGCUUUCCUGCUUCCAAUACUUCGGGGGGAUUCCCUUCUGAAUCCAGCAAGACCCAGGUACGCCGAGUUCCCAGCAACCCCGCCUUCUUGGACUUCUUUGGGGUUAAAAAAUCGACGUCAUCAACAUGAUCAGCCAUAGCAGCAGUUUGGGAGUUGAAUCAGGAAUUAAUCCUCCUCAGUUGAUCCACAACAGGAUUAGGAAUAGGGUGUCCACCCCCGAAAAAUCACCACCCCUAUAAACUACUACUACUCUACUGUUGAAGAAAACAUGUACAAGACAAAAAGGGAACAGGAGAAGCACAAGUAGCAGGUGAAGGUUCAGUUGUUUCACCCCCAGACAUGCCUACUCAGUGUUUGCUGACCACAUCAUCAGUUUGAUGGAGCAGAUGAAUUUUACAGGGACAGUCAUACUCGGGGCAGGGGGUGACUCCAGAGAAUAUGAUCCGUUCUAACAUCUGGACACAGACUCCCCCACUGAGGCGUCCAAGGAUUUGUGACUCUGACCAACGAUUUCUAGGCACUAUCCUCUUCCAAUCUAAUACACUGUUAGUAUUCACACGUAAAGGACAAUAGAAAUCUAGUACUCAUCAUUUAUGAACAAGUUGUACCUUGUUAACAACAAUUGUUUCUUAUUGAUGCAAAAAUCUUUUGAAACUUAUCUCCAUAUUGUUUCAUUCACACACUAAAAAGACGGUUAAAACAGUAACAAGAGAAAAAGAAAAUUUAUGAGUAUUGCUUCGACCGAAUUCUGAUAGGAGGGCCAUAUCAAUGCUGGUGUUGAGUUUGGAUCUCGUAUCUGUGAAACUAAGAUGCCAUUCCUGGGUUGUGAAUUUAGUUGAUCUGAGGACUUGACAGCCCAACUCAUAAGGCCUUUAGCCCUCCUCAUACUAGGUGCUGGCAAACAGCAAGGUUCAAUUCUGGUAAUUGCCAAAGCAAUAAACUAACUGGUAGUAUCUCAUUCGUCAUGGUAAAUGUCUUGUUUCGAGUCUCCAACUUUCCUUUUUACUCUUUCUUUUCCUUUGUCAGAUUUAGAACGCGUUUUAAACCAAAACAAAUAAAUUAAAAAAUAAUUAACUAAACUCUUGUAAUCAUUUUUCAGUGCAUUCUGUGUAAUGCUUAUCUGCUAUGCAUGUAAUACAAGUUUUUAUUUUAUUAAAGAGAGUUAAGUUGAUCUAGGCUAGCUGACAUGUUUGUUCCAUCCCUUCAUUUUUUUUUUUUGCAAAAUUCUUUUCUAGGAAAAUUCUAAAUUGAGGACUCACAAAUUCCGGCUUUUGCAUUGCCAAGCCUGAGCCAUAUAAAACGAAAAUGGAAAAAAAAAAAAGGCUGAAGUAUAUAUACAUGCUCCAAAACUAUUGAAGUUUUUUUAUCAUCUCCUUUUCUUUUAAAAUUUUUUAUUGAAGAAAAGUCAUGAUACGAACAACAGCACUAGGUCCAUUGAUUUUCCUUCCUCUAAUUAACAUGGUUUUGAACAGAUAAAGUGACCUCUCGAAAUAAAUACACAUUACAUAGUAUUCCAGCAGUAACCGCCGCCCGAAGGGGGGGGGGGAUGGGGGGGCAUGGGAGCAGCUGAUUAGGGUGGGAGUGUGGAGGGGUUAUGCAUUCCUUAUAGACACAAAAAAGACACCAUCAAGCCAUCACAUUAAUCCCAAGUGCUUAUACCAGGAAAUUGCAAUCAAAUAUAGGACGAUGCUGCAAGCUGUUCCGCCGCCGCAGAAUAAGAUGAAAUAGUAAUUGGGAGGAUCAGUCUUUUGGAAGAGACUAAAGUCGUGGAUAUUCAUACUAAAAACUCCUGUCACAGUGGUAAAAGCCAUGAGCACAACGCCUGCUGUCAUGAACAACACCGCCUUUUGCAUCAUUCUGUUCCGUGUGUCAUCCAGCAUGAUAUUGAUGUAGUCUUCCGUGUCAUCUACGUACUCCCUUAGCUUCACAGGACCAGCGCGAGCAUUUUAUAAGUAUUCACUUAAAAAGCUAAUUAGUAGUAUUAUGUUCUUGAGAGACUCGUGAGAUCUUGUAACCAAAAACAAGAAAUGAAAGAAAAAAAAAUGAAGUUUCAAUUCCCCAGAUUGUAGAUUGAUAUGCAGAGACGACAAAUUGGUACCGUUUUAUCUUUUAAGGUUAGUUGUAGUACCAUUAGUUGCGUUAUCUGCAGUGCCCCAUUAAUAGAACCCUAAUACUGAAAGCCCCAAAAACCCUUGGGUGUUCCUUGGUAAACUUUUGAGAGCCUAAUUUUACAAACUUUUAAGGGGUAUUUUCAUUUUAAAUUCGUCCUUGAAAGUAGAAUUUCUCACAUACGCAGACGCACAAGGAAGAGGAUUGAAUGCCACGAGGGAAAUAAAAUUCAUGUCUAGAUGCAACAUAUAUAGUUAUAGUCUUAGAGAUGCUUGCACCAUUCUAGAAUACACAGGUUUCGAUUCCAAAUGAUCCAUCAAUAUACGAACUUGAACUUGAAAGCCUAUGAUUGACUUUGGACAACUCUUUAAUUUGCAAUAAUGCUUUCGAGGGAUAUAUCAGAGUUAGCGAGUUGAGUUACAUACAGUUGAUAGGCCAGAUAAUGUUGCAUCCACCCGAACAAAGUAGGCUUCCACGAUUAUUUCCACAUCCUUCACACCGAGAUGCUUGCUUUUGCCUAUCAUGUAUCUUCUACUGCUAGUAUGGAUUGCAAAUUGGCUUCCUCUGCUGAGAGAACUGGCUGUGCGGAUUGCCCGUUGCUGGUGGUGCUGUUCGGCAGGGUGAAAAUCAACGCUGAAACGGCUGGAAUUCCCUCUGUCUUGCACUAAGGUUUCACCAGAAACCCUGCUCACUAACAAGAUAAAAGAGAAUUAAGAGAUGCCAAAGCUUGAAAGAAGGUAGUAACAGCCGAAAGCUUGGGACGAGCAUAUACAAAGCGUAACGGGUAAAAGUUGAAAUGUAUAGGAUGUAAAAGAAACAUCCCGUGCCUUUCAUCCAGGACUCUCUGCACAAUUUCAUGUUUUAUGGAGGAUAGGGAAGAAUUCCUAAGCUGCCUCUCAACUGCAUGCUUGUUUGUCAGAUACAUCUUAGCCAUAUAUUCGUCGUUAUUCAGCAAUCGCUCUAACUCAUCUCGCACCUGAAAAUUAAUUAAGACAUUUGCACUGCUCCUAUUAGUGAUCUACGAAACAAAAUUAUGAAUAUUGACUGGGAAAAUUAAGGAAGAACUAUUACCUUUUGAACACGUUGGAAUAAUUGGGCUAACCGGUUUUUGAUCCUGUGCACCCGCUCCAAAUUGAGGGUGUUAAUUUUUGAAGUCACUUCAUCCAAUGCUGGAUAAGCUUCCUCCUCCAAAGCCGUUGCCUGCAGAUUUCAAAGCCAAAAAAAAAGGGUCGAUACAGCGCAAACCAUAAAAGGAAAAUAAGGAAAAAGAACAAUUCUCCGGGGAGUAUUAACCUCUUCGUCCAAAUAACCGCAAGCAGCGUCCAGGCAGGCUUCUAAUACUACAAACUCAAAAGGAAGAAGCAGGGGUGGUCCAGUAUUUUCUCCAUUUUGUCCCCUCGUCAAUAGCGACUCUUCUUCCCGUGACAGUGCUUCGGUAGCCUGGUGGUGCUGCAUGAUUCUGUGUCGGAGCUCUUCCACGAAGGGCACGACGGAGGGCUCUCUGGAGUUGAGCAGGAGGACUUCAUGUGCCGUAACUAUGGCUUUGAUGUGCUCCAAAUGGACGAUGAUGGCCCGUUCCCGCCCUAUCAAAGUGGACGGAUACGAGAGGAAAGGAUCCAAUAUCCGAAGAUCAAGGCCAGACAGGCCAGUCCUCCGCAUAACACCGUGCUUCCCUGCUUCCACUAUAUUUGAUUCGCCGGUUGAGUCCAGUUGUAGCCAUGUUCGGACCCCCGUGGCCUUCUUUCGGAGAUGAUCGCCUCCUCCUCCUCCUCCACUGAUGCCAGCCAUAGAGCGCUGGAAGAAGGGAAAAAAAAACAGAAUUUCAAUACUACGCUUAGAGAGAGUAUUAGUUUUGACUUUUGAGGUGGGAGGGAGGUAGCACCUGAUGACCUCCACACCACAGCCAACAACUCACAAAAUGUGAAAUAAGCCAGCCAGGGCAGGCGAAAAGAGCCACCUGAAAUUGAAAUUGAAUGCUUGCAACAAUAAUGUUGAGGCCAUGCACGAGAGUCUAAAUCAUGACGUCAAUGUUCAUGCUAUCUUGCUGAUUAAUUUAUGGGAAGAUCCAAUUGACAUGUGCUAACUAACCCAACCCAUGUAGUAAUUAAUUAAAGUACCAACUGUUCAAGGUUGACCACGCCCGUCCACCUGCUAACGUACUAAUAUUAUUUCUGGGUGUUGCUUUGCCCAGAAAGAGUUUGAGAUACACGUCACACUUUCACUUUUUAGAACCUGCAGAUUCGCUGCAUGGUGACGGUACCUUUGUUGUGGCGGUUACAGCCGGACGUAAUAUCAUCACCAAUUAAGUAUUACUCUCCAUUUAUUUAUUUAUUUUGAUUCUGGAAAUCUGGUAAAUAGCUACUGGCCUAAGUGAGACUAAUUAAAGCCAACUAGCUGAUGGAUGUAAGUCAAGCUUACGAAGUUUAAUUUGGCACGAGUACUUCAGUUUCUUGGGGUAGGAAAAUGGAUGUCAUGCCAGCACAAGACAAUUUUUUUUUUUUUUUUUAACCCUUCCACUCCUCCCCAGACUCUUCUUAUCUCCCCAUCCUCUUCUUAUCUCCAACUGCCAAGCACAAGAACCUCACAACAACACGACAAGGAAGAGUCUAAGAACCCCCGGCCUGACCGCUGAGCGCAUGAGAAAAAAUUUCAAUUAAUUUGUGAAGUUAACAUUCCGGAUGUGCCAUAUGCACAGCUCAAGAUCGUCUUCUUUCGUGUACACUGCACAGAUAUGCAAAUGCGAAGGAUUCCUCAACAAUUACAUUGCUGAAAGGAGGAAGUCUUGCAUUGCUCAUAUUCUUGGCCUGCGUACGUUGCAUCACCUUUUCUCUUCUUUUUUUGUUUUAAAUAGAAAAAGGGGUCUGAAAGUGCAUCGUCUUUCUUGCAAUUAUUUUUUUUAUGCCGAUGAACUGGAUAUGAGGGAAACAAAAAACAAAGCCCAUGCUGUUUAUGAGAUCAUUGGGUUAACACAAGUUGCACAGCAAACCGAUGUUGUUGGUGUAUCGUAAGAGUUUAAUGUUUCGUACGUUCGACUUUUAUUGUCUUUAGUUUUCAGCUAUCAAUUCUGUGACCCACUAAAUAAUUUCGACAGAAUUGAUUCCUUGUGUCUGAAGUGUGAGAAAGUACAAAGUGCAAAUUUGAUUAAUAAAGCAGGAGGAAUUCAACUUGAAAGCUAAAUGGCUCUCAUCAGUCUUUAUGCUGUACACGAACCGAGAAUGCGCACGUUCAUGACUCACAAGAUCGAUUCAUGCAAAAGUAAGAUUGAUUUCGCAACCUGCUUUCACAUGUGAAGUUGAUUUUGUUUUCUGAAGGAAGGUUGAUCAGUUCCUUUUGUUGCAGGAAAGACGUCCCUCCAGCCUGCCAAUCAAACUUUAUUAUUACUUCUUUUUUUCAAUUUAUGCUGGAAAAAAUGACCAUAAAAUAUGAAUAAAAUUGCCUUGCCUUUAAAUAUGAAUAAAAAGAUAGGGAAAAAAAUUUCUUCCAUUUAAAUGAUGUGUAAUAAGGUACGAACCCUUGUAUAAUAGUACCAUAUAUAACUCGUCAAUGCAGCAAUCCUUUGUAUCUAUACAGCCACAUUGCAAUUAUAUAUAUACAUAUAGUACCAAAGCUGCCGGCACAAAUCAUCCACAAGAAGGAUUUGUUUGGAGGUUCAUUGUCAUUGAACAAAUCAAUGUGAAUGUUUAUAGCCAAAACUGAGUCUACGAUCAUAAAACAAGUCAAUGCUACGGUUGCUGUCAUCAGCUUGAUCACCAUCUCCAUCAUGUUGUUCAGUUUGUCAUCGAGCAUAAUGUUGAUAUAGUCUUCAGUAUCAUCUACAUACUCCCUCAGCUAUCAAUCAAAAAAACAAGUAAUCAGAGAAUACUGAAUAUAUAUAUAUAUAUAUAUAUAUAUAUGCACAUACACGAAGAUGAAAUUCAUCAGCAAUUUUUGAUAGAUGGCACAUAAUUGUAGCACAUAUACGCCAUCGAACAGGGUUCGUUGUUUUACACAAAUUUUAGCCUAAUCAAACCUCAGUUUUAUGUUCGAUAUAUUUAGGAAAACCAUUGACGUGGGUAUUAUUAGUAAAGUAUAAGAGCCGAAAUAGUUGAAAUGACACAAAAUUAUUAACGACGGAAGUCCUUUUAACAUUUGAGCUACGUACAGUGGAUAAUCCGUUGAGCGUAGCGUCAAUACGAACAAAGAAUGCUUCCAGAAGCAUUUCAAGAUCCUUUACACUUUGACGCUUGCUUCUAUCACUGCGUUUGCUACUGGCAUAGGUUGCUUGGCUUUUUCUGCUAAAUACUGAACUAGCAGCGUCAACAAAUUCCUGUUCUUGAGCAUGAUUGGUAUGAAGAAGAUCAGUACCAAGUCUGGUGGAACCUUCACUGUUUUCUGUCAAGUUGUCAGCUGGCGUCCUGACAACACAAGAAUACUGAACAAAGAAUUCUAACGAUGGAAACGAAAUUAAUAAGAUCCCUUACGGACCCAAAUUCAGCAGAAAAAUUUAAAAGAACUCACUAACAAGGCUUUGAAGGCAAGUAGUCAACUAAUUUCUAGCGCUAGCAAUUGAAAAGAUUCACUUGCCUGUAUUCUACGUCUGACAGAAUUACUUCGUUAUUCUUGUCAUCUAGUUGAUCUUCGUGUGCACUAUAAUUUUGAAGCUGCUGUUGUAGUUGGUUCUCUGUCAGAUACAUCUUAGACAUGGGGUCAUCAUCAUCUAGCAAACGCUCUAAUUCAUCCUUCACCUGAAAUAAUGCUUUAGAAUCCCUUCAAAUAAAUGGAAUAUAGACAAAUAAUAACCAGAUGAUAAGCUUCAUGCUAGUAUAUAUUCCAAAGUUCUAGAGCUUAGACUAGCUGAAAAAAAAAAUACGAUCAGUCAAAGCAAGUUUCAAAUUCAAAGCAUUACUUGACUCCCAAUACUGUAAAAGUAAAUGAGGACCACCCAAGGGAGAAGUGGAGAACAAAACCAAGCAUCUAGCAGGAGUAUCAAAUAGAAAGAAGCGAUUUAGAGCACUCGACCUUUUGAACACGAUUAGUUAUCCCGAUUAAGCGGCUCUUAAAUUGGUGCACACGUUCCAUGUUGAGAGUAGAGAUGUUCGAAGUUAACUCAUCAAGUGCCGGAUAAGAUUCUUCCUCCAAUGUAACUGCCUGGCUUGAAAUGAAACAUUCAAGGAAUUAGUCAAAUUAAACUUGACAAGCGAACCAGAAAAUGGACAUCAUCCUCGAAAAAUCAAAAGCGAGUAAGUAUAUGGUUUCUUUGCCUCGUUGUCCAGCCAAGUGCAUGCCUCCUCGAGGCAAGCCUCCAAGACAACAAACUCGAGGGGAAGACGCUUCCGAUCAUCCAAAUUUUCUCCUCCAAACUCGGCCCCUACUUCCUCUGGAUCGAUGCUAUCAUGGUGGUUCAAGAUUUUUUCACAAAGCACUUCUGCAAAGGGCGCGACAGCGGGGUCCUUGGAGUUGAGCAAGAGGACUUCAUGAGCCAUAAUCACAGCCUUGAUGUUCUCCACACUGAAUAUUAUGGCUCGUUCACGGCCCGAAAUGGUGCAUGGAUACGAAAGAUCAGGGUCCAGAAUACGCAGAUCUCGGCCGGUGAUACCUGUUCGCCGCAUAAUAGCAUGCUUCCCUGCUUCCAAUAUAUGGGACUGACCGGACGAGUUGAAUAGAAGCCAUGGACGGACCCCCAACGGCUUCUUCUCAAGUGGGGAGCUAUUGUCAAUAUCAGCCAUACCAUAUAGAUCUAUCAGCACAUUAAGUGCUCUGCUGCGUUUGAGUUACUCAAUGCUGUUCACAUGCAUAUUGUGAAUCAUCAAACCACACCGGCAGAUGAACCAUACAGCAGGCUCUAAUUAGCACGUCACACCAGUAGAUGACUGAUUAACGAUACAGCAGGCUGUAAUUAACAGUGUUGAAAGCGCAAGAGAAGAGAAAAGGCCAAUCCUGUGCAGGUUGGAACCCAGGGGUAGUAGUCUGUGGUCAAAUAAUAUAGAAAUGGAAUCCCAACUGUAGCUUCUGGAAUCAUGCUUCCAGCUUCCCUUGAUUAUGAAUAGAAUUGAUCACGCUCCUCACAAGUCACAAUUGAAACCAGUUUGAGUUUAGAAUAGUCAUUUUAUAUUUUUUAUAUCACAUUCUUAUUUAUUUACACCCUGUCUAGAUUCAUUUGCCUUCGGAAUAAAACGGAGAAGAAGUACUGCUUGAUUAAUAUGCUCCGGCUGCCGGGCCGCAUGACUAUUACAGGAGUACUAAAUUGAGUACUUGGUCAACCUCGCACAUGAACUGUUACAAUUGACUUUAGGCGCGGUUGAAACCUACGGCCCCAUACCCCCGGGCCCCUUUGGAAUUUCUUUAACAAAUUUCUGCCACAUGUCCCUAUUUUUAAUUCCCAUGCUGAGAGGAGCUAGAAUCAAUGGAGCACACUCCUUUCUUGUGCAAAAUGGCACAGGAAGUGUGCAAACAUGCCCCAGUCAAAUGCGUUGGAUUAGAAGAAGCUGGGAGUAAUUUAUGGGGAUGGUAGGACAAGCUAAGAGGGGCUCUGAAGAGGAAGGAUGGAAGCAGGCAUAUUGAACUUGCGGCAAACAUCUUAUCGCAGAUAUGGGAGGCGAGAAACAGAAGACAUUUUUGAAAAGCACAACAAUAACCCAAUGAACACUGACAGCAGAUAUUGACAGAAUGGAGAGAGUAUGAAAAGACCCUAUUGAAGUCAAACUGUGUGAUCUCCGCAGAGACACAUGAAGAAGGCUAUCAGCAUUGGCAACCUCCUCAACAAGGCUUCUUGAAAAUCAUCAUAUAUAGCUACCAAGAACAAUCUGCCUUUUGGACAGACUGGAAUUGUAGCAGUGGGUAAGAAUUGGAAGGGUGAAACCAAGUGGCUUGGGCAAUGACUAAACAUAGAAUUAGGAACGAAAGAGUUAGCUACUGCUACAGCUAUCAAGUUAACUAUGGUUAAAGCUGCUGAAGAAGGAUAUCAGAAUAUCAUCCUUGAGUCAGAUUGUAAAGCAGUAAUGAACAAGUUAUCUAUCAAAAAUUGCAGGGAUGCAGCAGGUGAAACAGUGAUGGAGAAUAGCUUGGCACUAAGUCCUCAAUUUCUGCAAUGUAAGUAUUCUUAUGUAAGUAAAAAUAUUAAUGCUGCAAGUCUUCUUCUUUUUGUUUUCAACAAACGGCAUGCUACAAGUCUUCUAGUUGCUAAUUUUGCAGCACAACUUGGAAAAGAUAUCAGGUGGAAGAGUUUUGCUAAUUUUGCAACACAGGUUGGAAAAGAUAUCAGACGGAAGAAUUUCUUUCCUUUGUGGAUAUCUUAAUUAGAUGACCAACGGUUUUGUGUAAGGGCAGUUGCCACUUGAUCCAAGAACCGUUGGUCUAAAUAACCAAAUCUUUUAUUAAUUAUACUGUGAUCCUUACUACCUUGGCAUUAAUAUAUCAAUAACUAAAAUAUGUCUACAUAAAUCAAAAUUUUAUUUUAUUUUCAAAGGAAGGACUCCAUUGGAAUUGACCGACUAUUAGUGGUCAACAAUAAAAAUUAUCUCCAAGAUUUAUUUACUUCGACUUCAAAGGAAGGACUCCAUUGAUAUUUUCAUAAUUAAGAAAAAAGUACAAUCAUGAUCAUAAGAAAUCACAUAUUAUAACAAAGGGAAAUAGGAGGAUUGCGGUCUGUAACUUGAUUUUAACUUACGGACAGAUCCUGACCGUUGGAUCAUUGUGGCAUUUUGAUGGGAAAGGACAACCUAUUUGUCCGGUAAAUAUACUAAAAGAAAAGAGAAAUUUUAAGGACUUCUCUUUUUCUUUUUUUUUUGGUUCUUUCCACCAUCUUCAUUUCCUUAUUGCCUAACAGCAUCCACCAUUUAUAGUCUUUUUAUGGCUAAUGUGACUAGUCAAUUGCCUCCAAUCAAAACAUUUCUUCCUAUUUCCUUCUUUUCAACAGAAACAAACAAAAAUGUGUACAUGUGUGUGUGUGUGGAUGUAUGCAACCAAAAGGGCAAAAGAAACAAAUACAGUUCCAAUUGAAGUGAAAGUAUGGCUUCGAAAUUAUGCUGUGAAGUGUCAAGUGCAAAAAGUCUCUGUUGGGAGGAACAACGGGAAAAUAAUGCAACCAAGAAAAAAACAAUUGAUUGAAAAAGCAAAUCUAUAAGAGAGAGAGAGGCAAUAGAUGGCUCGGGGGUAAGGAAUGAGAGAGAUGGGGAGGAAGAGUAGGAGUGACUAGUUUGAAUCAUGAUUAUAGACCAUUCAAGCCGGCCUCAAGGGAUUGAGAACUUGAUAUAACGUAAAAUUAUUAGGGGAGUUGAGUGAUAUUAUCAAAAAAUUUUAGAAAAGAUUUCUAGAAUUUUUCUUUUCACUUAUGACACAGUUGACUAAUAUGAUUUUUGCGGAAUCUGAAUUAUUGCAAAUCUUUUAAAAGUUAGAGGUACUGUAGAAAUCAUAGAGAGAAAGAAAAUGCCAGAAAGAAACGUACAACAAAUUUUUCUUAAUUUGUGAGUAACCCUGAAAACAAUGCAACGAUUUGUAAUUUGUUACUUGAAAUAGACUAAUGCGGAUAGGAUAUCAUCUUUGUACAAGUGACUUAUUGUUAUUUGCAGUGUACAGUGGACACAUUUGUGGAGAAAUUAUCAUGCUGAAUAUACUUCCGGAAAAAGCUGAAAGGACUUUCUUGAUAUUAAGCCAAGAGAGGAAAAGGGAUAAGGCGUAGAUGCAAUGUUGUUGAAUCAAUUGAAGAAAAGCUAGGAUGAGAAAUUCUAUUUUUCUUAAAUUAAAGCACAAAUUUAUUUCAUCCUAAAUGUUAUAACUAAAGUUUGCUUCCUUACACCUAAACUGAAAGAGAACAUGCAGUACAAAAGAAAAGCUUAAUUAAAGUACUUUAAGCUUGCUCUUAUAAUGUGAUAUGAAGAAAAUACAAAAGAAAUUUCUUUUAUUUCUCCGCUUCUCUCUCCCCUCCUACUCUAUCUUUUGGCCCCUUGUCUUCUUCUUCUUUUUAGACCACUUCCUACUCUUAUGUUCUUGUACCAUGCACAUGUAUAGCACAGACAUCUAGUGUUAUAAACUUCUUCUACAUGCAUGAAAUGAAAUUGAAGUACUAAUCUUUUGUUAAAAAAUCAGUAGUUAAUUAAUUCUUCGACAAGUGGUGUAAACCGUUUAACAAACAAUCUAUCAGUGACUAAAGUCUAUAUUAGAAAUUUAGAACUUUAAAAAGAAUGAAAAAUAAAAAGUCCAUGUUAGAGCUUAUUCUCAUACCAUUAUCUAGAAGAAAAUUCGUUAAUUACUUGCGUGGAUUGCGAUAUUUUAUGAGGCCAUAACUCUAGCUGACUGUAUCAUCUAACCUCAACAUGAUCUGUAAUAUCUUCUAAAACAUGAUUAGUACUUACAUUAAUUAUUGGAUACACAUGUGCAACUGUGAUAAAGUGGAAGUAUAAACUAUGAAGCAGAAGAUUCAUUUUGUAUAUUGUAAACCGACAUCAAAACCUUUUAUGAACAAAUAUCUUUGAUUAGAAAAGAUUUAGCCCAAGAAACCUUCUAGCGAACUACUGCAUUUCUGCUUGUAACAGCAUAGCUUUUGCAUCUCGGGUAUGCAUAAAUGGGGGAAUCUGCUUCCUUGAAAUCACAGGGCAUGUCCUCAUCGAUCCUUCCAAUCCUUCCAAUCCCAACACUGUAACUCCUCUUCUCCGCUGCUUUAGCGGGCAGCUUCACGCUUGUAAUUGGCCUUUGCAACUGAGGAUCGAUGGUCUUGAUCCCAGCAUUGGCCUCACUCAGCUUUGUGGAUACGGCGCGAAUGAGUUCCCUGAGUUCAUCUUCCUGCUUGCUAUCCUUGGACGAGUUAACGCUGAAGUUUCGUGGUAGCUGUUGAGACACUUGAGGAGCAAUACCGCAGUUAACCACCGUGUUAUCACCAAUUCUUGCAGCACAAUCGAACAUGCUGUUCAUGUAGAAUUCUGUUAUUUUCUUCAGGACUCUGGCAGGUGCUUUUAGGAUAACCAUCAGCGUGCUUUGCUUCUUUGCUUUUGUCGUCGUCUUCAUUCUAUGAGUUGUUGAUUAAGAGGAGCUAACUGAAAAUUGGCAAGUAUUGAUGAUGAAGUUAAAAUGUUGAGUGAGGUGGGAAGGGCGGCAAAAUAUUGAAGGGGUAUAUAACAGAUGCAGAUUGCUUCGAGUGUUGAUUUCAUUUUGUAACUUGUACUGCCUUUAUGUUUGUAGCGUUAUUGACUCUUUCUAGUGUAGAACAGAUCCAAGGUCAAAUAUAUGGCUGUCCAUGCUCCAUACGCAUAAUUAACUUGAGGAGAAUUGCAAUUUUGGGCCUCUAUAUAGUGGAUAAUCACAAUUGGACCUUUUCAAACUUUAACUUUGAUAUAUUCAGACCAGACGUUAAUUAGUCUGCCAAGUUUAGGAUAUGAGAUUAUUUGAAAUAUUAUUUGGAAUAAUUACUGUAGCACUUUUUGUGAUGUGAUGUAUGUGAGAUAAAAAGAUAAUUGAAAAGAUAAAAAUGUGUGUUGGAAAUUAUAUUUGUAAUGUAAGCAAAUAAUUUUUAGCCAUUAUUUGGCUAUCCAAACACAUUACAUAUGGUUCCUCGUGUUCAGAUGAUUCUUAAAGUUGGGGGGGGGGGGGUCAUGAAUUUCUUCUUGAAUCGAAGUAUAGAAUUUUGAAAAUUUUAAAAAGCCUAAACUUGUCCACACCAGAAAUUCGAGGAGGCCAUCUAAAAGAAAUUUAGAAGUCCGGGGAUUGUGGCUUAUAUAUGUUGAAAUAGAAAUUUGAAGAAUAAAUUUGGCCGUGUAUCUUCUGUUUCACUCCCGGUGUCCCAUUUUUUAGUAUUGUUUUUCCUUGAUAAAUAUCUUAUUUUAGUUCUUUUUUGUUUUCUUAAAAUCUAAUAACUAUUAAUUGAUUAAAAAAUAAAUACAACAAUCUCAAAAAGUAAUAUAUUAUAAAAAUUAUAAAAUACAAUAGAAAAUUCAUUAAAAAAAUCUCAUUUUUAUGCAUUUUGAUUUUUUGAAUUUAUUAAAUUUUGUGAGUUGAUAGUUAUUGAAUUUUAAGAAAAUAAAGAAGAACUAAAAUUUGAUGUUUAUAAAGCAUAAAUAGCAAUAUAAUAAAAAGUGGGACAGAGAGUGACACAGAAAAUGAGACAGAAGAUCCUUCGUGAAUAAAUUUAUGGGUACGAAAAACAUAAGGAUGGAUGGUAACAUACUAACAUUGAAAAUCUUAAACAAGUCAAAGUAGGGAUUUUGUUGAAUUUAAAAAGGGUUCUAAACAAGCGCAAGAAAGAAAGCGUCAGUUUAGAUUGCGGAAUGGCUGGCCACACAGAUUUAAUUGUAGGGCGGCGCGGCCACCUUGAAUACAUCCCCGGAGUAAAUUAAACUUGGUCUGGUCGUGUCUACUAAUUAAUUGCGCGUCAUUAUUGGAAAUUGGAAUGAUUCCAAUGGACGCCCCUGAAUACUACUACGCUGGUCCUUUUCUUUGUAGAAUUUGGGAUCCUUUCUACUCCCUCCGUUCUACUUUGAUAGUACUGUUUCUUUUUUCAGACAGUUUAAGAAAAAGUGGUUAAUUUUGUUGGAAAAGUAAAAUUUAGAUUACUAUUUUCCUAAAAUACCCUCACAUUAAAUAUGGUAUAACUUUAUGAGAACUUGAAUUGAUGGUAAAAAAAGAAUCAACUCUCAUUAAACGGAGUAGGUUUAUAAUAACAACAACUUACAUUGAAUAAGGGUAUUUUAGAAAAAUUAAAAUACAACUACAUUCUUCAAUUGGAAAGUGGACUACAAUUUGGAACAGAUGAAAAAGGAAUACAGGGCUAUCAAAGUGGGACGGAGGGACUAUUUAUUAGUUUUUUUUAAAAAAAAUGUUAAGCAUACAACUUCACCAGCAAAUUUAUUGAACAUCGAAUCCGUUGGAUCCUCCCUUUGACUAAACUAAACAUCAAUUUUCUUUUCCUUGCAUGCACGAUUCACAGCCCCUUCUUUGCACGUGCUUCUCUGAAUCUUCCAUAUUUUCUGCUAUGUUUCAAUGGAAUAAUACGAAGGGUUAAUCACAUUUUAUCCCCUUAAAGAAUACCUCAUUUCUCAGUUUACCCUCUAACCUUUAAUUUUGCUCACUUAACCCCCUUUAGGACAAAAUUGCCCUUGCAUUAUUUUGACUUUUCAUUUACCUUGUUUUCCUUUCUUUUAUUUCUUUUUCUCUUUCUUCUUUAUUUAAUUCUUCCUCUUUCCCACAAAAACUUCACCUUAAUGAUUGAAAUUAAAAAAGAGGAAUUACAAAGAUCUAUCUUCUUCUUAAAUGAUCAAAAAAAUAUUCAAACCACUUUUCUAAAAUACAAUUUUUUUAGCCUUUCAAUUCUUUUAAUUUUGGGUUUUCCUCUUUCCUUUCUAGUUUCUCAUUUUAUUCUCAAGAAAAUAUCAUAAGAUGAAAUUGUUUUCCUUUCUUUUAUUUCUUUUUCUCUUUCUUCUCUCUAUCAUCCUUCCCAAUAGAAAAUUCGAUUUCCACAAAAAUUUUUGUUUUGAGUUUGCAAUCGCAUAUUUUUGGGCAAAGGUUUAAAAGACAUCAAAAACUAAUUUUGAUUUUUUGUAUGAUGCCACGUGUCACAAAUUUCAAUUGAUAAUUAUUAAUCAGGUCACAAUUUCAUCUUAAGAUAUUUUCUUGGGAAUAAAAUGAGAAACUAGAAAGGAAAGAGGAAAACCCAAAAUUAAAAGAAUUGAAAGGCUAAAAAAAAUUGUAUUUUAGGAAAGUGAUUUGAAUUUUUUUUAAUCAUUUAAGGAAAAGAUAGAUCUCUACAAUUCCUCUUUUUUAAUUUCAAUCAUUAAGGUGAAGAUUUUUAUGGGAAAGAGGAAGAAUUAAAUAAAGAAGAAAGAGAAAAAGAAAUAAAAAAAAGGAAAAUAAGGUAAAUGAAAAGUCAAAAUAAUGCAAGGGCAAUUUUGUCCUAAAGGGGGUUAAGUGAACAAAAUUAAAGGUUAGGGGGUAAACUGAGAAAUGGGGUAUUCUUUAAUGGGAUAAAAUGUGAUUAACCCUAAUAUGAAUAUCAUGACAGAUAAAUCAAGAUGUGAUCAACCGAGUUAGAAGUUCAUUAUUGCUUAAUAAUAAUUAAUUCCUUGCUGAAUUCUACAAAUACCUUUUCCCAAGGAUUUCGUGCAUUCUGCAUGUAUUUAUUGCAAUAAUAAGAUUUGGAUUGUAGAGUGUGUAAAAUUGAGAAAGCAUGAUGAGCUUUUAAAAAACAGGCUAAUGAAAAUAUAUCAAGGAUUGACUUUUUUAAAAACAAGUAUAUAAUUACAUUUUGAAUGUGUAAGUAACACCAAUUCUUAUGAUUUUUCUAUUUAAUAUCACAUAAUAAAAUUGUCAUACUUCAAUUCUUAUACUAGAAAAUGUCAAAUAAUAAUUAUUAACCAUAUUUAAUUACAGGCACUAAACUCCUGCGCGUUGCGCGGGCUUUUCCCCCUAGUAUAUAUAUAUAUAUAAUAGAUUAGAUGAUUUUAAAUGUAGCGAAUACUCGGUAGGCACUUGUUUUAAAAAUCUUGUGUUAGUAGUAUGAAUGGAUCUAUCAUAUAAAUCCAAAACGGUUUCUCUUGUAAAAAAAAAAAAAACGCUUCUAAAUAUACCUGGAAAAUUCAUAUAAAAGGUCUCUCUUGUCCGUUGAUGAUGUUGAACUGGUCUCGGUAGAGAAAUUAGGUUCUCAAUGUUGUCCGUAAGUUCAUGAAAAAUGUUCUCCAACUUCCUGGAAUCAGUUAAAGAGUGGUUAUAAAUAGUACGUUUCUUUCUUUUUUUUUUUGGUUUGAAUUUAAGAAGAAAAUAAUAGAGGAAAUGGACAAAGAUUUCAAACUUGAAAGGAUGAGAUAAUUUGGAAGUAGGUAAAAAUUAUUGCAGAUAGAAUGAUUGGAGAGUGUUUGGAGGGACGUGACGUUGUUAAUGUGAAUCAACUAAAUGGGCCGAACCAACCUAAACUAUGUAUGGCCCAAAAAUACUACUGUUUAAUUAAGUCUUUCUUACCAAUAAUAAUAAUAAUAAAUGCUGUUUAAUUAAGUCUAUUAUACAUAGGAAAGAGAAAAAGUUUGAUUAAAACAAUUACUCUCUCUCUCUCUCUCACACACACACACACAUAUAUUGUAAAUGGGCUGUGUCAAACAUGGUAGUCUAUUGGGCCAACCUCGUGUAAGGAACUCACCCUCGUAUAUUGCUAUUGUUAGGCGAGAAUUUUCUAUGCAAAGAAAAGGAAGAAAAAAAUAAGAGAGACUGAGUGAUCAUUUGUUCUGUACAUCGUGUCAUUUCAUUUUCAGCCCGAAAACGAAACUGCAAGGUAUAAUUUGCAGAAGCCCUUGAUCCAUUUCGGAUUUAAGUUCCCGGUAAUCACAAUCUUGAUCACAAAGAACAGUUCAGGCUGAGAGAUUGAUGUAUUCGAAUUUGCCUGAUGGAGUUUGAAAUUUGGAUAUAGAUUAUAAUAAAUAAAAUAAAAAAGUUAUUGCGUUUUCACAUGUAAAUAUCUUAAUGUCUACAUUUGUUGAAUUAGUGCCUACAUCGCAUGAUGCGGUUUUCACUGUUAAUUAUGGAAGUCCUUGAUCUAUUUCGGAUCCAAGUUCUCUGUCAUAGCAGUCUUGAUCGCAGAGAAGAAUUCAGGUCGAGAGAUUGACGUAUUUGAAUUUGGAUGAUCGGGAUUAAAUUUUGGGCACAAAGUUUAGUAAAUAAAAAAGUCAUUAUUGUGUUUUACAUGAUGUUGUUUUAAUACUCUUAUUUUAGCGUUUGUUUUUGUUGAGUCAAUGUUUGCACUGGCGCAGUUCGCAUUGGUAGUUGUAAAAAACCUUUGAUUCAAAGAUUCCUUGUGGAGAACGAAAGUUUCAGAAGUAUAUAGAGUUUGAAUUUUUAUUUUUUUUUUUUGGUUUUGUGAGAGUAGUUUGAAGUUCAAACUUUGAACAGGAUCAAUAUUUUCAAACUCAUUAUUGUCAAGUAAACAAAAUUUUUUGUCUUGACAAAAAAAUGCAAAAUCCAGAGGUAAGAAUUGUUUUAGCCUUACAAAUCAGUCUGUCGGAAUAUAUGCAAUAAAGGAACAUUAAUGCCCUUUAAUUUCACCAACUGCCGAAAACAGCGUUAUUAUUUUAUUACAGGCAUGGCGGGGUACAACAAUAAAAGCCUGCCCUGUUUGGAUUGUCAUUUUUUGUUGAAAAAUUGCGUCGUUUUUCGUAAUCACAUUUUUUUAUUAUUUUUUUUCUCACAUACAUCAAAUCGUUACAGUAAUUUUUCCAUGAAAAAUCAUAGAAAAUGCAAUCCAAACGGGGUCCAAAAAGUCCAAGUUCCUUGUUUCAGCUCAAUUAUCUGUUUUUUUUUUUUUUUUGGUCAAAGGUCAACUUCUAUAUAUGCUUCAGCUCAAUUAUCACUCACUUGAAAUCAAGAUUCCGGUCUCACUCUGCCGCUCAAAUAUUACUAGUCAAAUGUUUUUUUUUUCCUGUAGAGAAAGAAUUUAAGUCCAGGACUAUACGUGCUUUUUUGAAGGGGUACCAUAUGUGUUAAUGGCAUAAAUUCCGAAAUCAUUUAUUUUUGUCAUCUUCAUCCAAGUUGGGGAGGUUUGAGGUUUUGGGUGUAUUGCUUCCGUUUGUUUAAUGUUUUAGAUUAAAGGACAGAAACGAUCGCCAGAAAAUGUAAGAAGUAUUUAAUUAGUUGUUAGAUUAAAUUCAUAAUUUACCUUCAUUCAUCUUCCAACAACAGCUUAUUUAGCCCUGAGUUCAAUUUUCUCGAUUUUUUUUUUAAAAAAAAUUUUGUUACAAAAGAGAGAGACUUAUCCAUUCCUUACACUUGAGAUGACAAGUUCUCUAUUUUUCCUCUAAAAGGAGGAGGACUUAUCACUUUAAUUAUUUUAAUUUAGGUGUGGCCACGGUUCAAAUUUAAAUCAGAAUUAGACUGGAAUCAAGCUGGCAGUUUGUUAAACCCAAAUUGAAAUCAGAUUUUGAAACCAUAAUCAUGAUUAAAGGUUCAUAUUCAUAUUCUCCAAAAUUUUGAACUAAAAUCGUCUAAAAAAACACUUAUUACAUAAAUCUAUAUAAGCAAUUUAGAGUUUAAUAUCAAUAGUCGGUGCACAACACUAACAGUCUCAGUUCUAAUCCAACAAUCCAACAAUCCAUUAUCUCAUCUCAUUAGUAAGUCUAGGCACAUAACUAAUCUAAAUCCGAGACCAAUCCAAUUUGAUCAAUUGUGAGGUAUAUUUUCAUCAUUUUUUCUUUUUCCUUCGUAUGAUAAUGCAAAAAGUUUUUUUUUUUUUUUUGUUUUUUCCAUUCAUCGUCAUUUUUUCUUAGAAUCAAUUUUAUAACAAUUAAUAAUUGUUUAUACAUAACUAAAAUCAUUGGAAGUGAAACCAGAAGCAACCAAAAUAAAAUCGAACAAGAGCCAAAGGUUGAUAUAAUUCAGAAAACACCAAUUUUUUUUAGAAACUUUGUAACUAUAAAAGCCGAUUCAGGCUCCGCCUUUUAAAAGAAAGGAAAAUGUCGAUUUUUAAAUCCAAACCAACAAUUUUGAAAUUGCGACCAUAUAUACUUUAACUUAUCCAUUCCAUUGCAUUUUUAGCCGAAACUAUUUUUUAACUUAUCCAUAUCCAGUUUCUUUAUUUUUUUUUGACCAAAUUCCAAUUACUUUUUUGGAAAUGAAAAUAAAUUCACCCUAACUCGAGAAAAUUAUAUAUAUACUCCAAAAUUUCAUAACCUUUACGAUCAACUAAUUAUCCGUUCCCCAACACGCGCACACACGUAUACGUUUAAAAGUCCAUAGCUUUCCUAACAAAGACGGGAUUUAAUGCAUCCCAUCAGAUUCAAACCGAGACAAUAAUGUGCCUCAAUUAAGUGCUAAUAUGGAGCAUAUCGAUUGACUUUUGGUGAUCCUAAUCAGCAGCAUCGCACAGCAACUGGGUUGUAAUCACCUUUUUAGCCAUGAUAAAUCAAUUACAGAUUCAGAAUUUGACUAAACUCGAGAUUCACAAUUAAGGUGUAACCGCCCAUUCGAAAAAAAAAAAAUAUUAUGUAUGGAGAAAGACAAAUUCGGAAGUUUCAGACUGUAUGGAUUAUGGUAUGUGUUGAUGAUACAGAGAAUUACUAAAAGGGAAAUCAAGAAAAGCUGCAGAAAAAUUAGAGUGAUAUGCAUCGAAAAGACGAAAAUCAAGAAACGCUACGCUUUCCGGGGCGAUCGGCACCCUUGAGAGUCUUGUCGAUGAGUUGGCGAGCUUUUCUACUGCGGAUCUCCACUUUAACACUUGCACUCUUGUCCAUCUUUACGUAUGGCUUCUUUUUCUUCUUCAAAUUCAGUGCUUUCACCUUGGACUUUAUGGACUCCACCAAGUGCUCCAAUUGGUUAGCCAUUUCUGCACCUUAAACUACUAAAAGAAAGAAAGACCCUCUCUGUCUCUGUCUAUUCUUUUUUUUUUUUUUUUUACCUUACUGCUGCUGCUACUACUGCUACUGCUAGAGCUAUUGCAUUCUUGGUUUAUUGAUGAAGGAAAGGGAUGGGAUCAAUUUCGUUGUCACAUAGGAUUGAUCACUACAACGAGGCUGUUGCUGCGAUUGAUGUUCAAGUUGAUGAUCUUUUGCGUAUUUCAAGGAAAUAAAAAUGGCCCAAGAUUGAUUGUGAGAGAGAGAGGGGCUGGUGGGAUGGGAGAAUGGGAGAGAGCAGCAAAAUUUGUUUUAGUUGGAUUGGAAGACCAUUAGUAAGAAGGCGUCAGCUAUUUAUUAUGGUUCCGUCUCUGGCUGCUCCGCUUCUGGUGCCGUGCGAGGUUUUGGGUUCACAUUUACCGGGGGGCGUUCAAGAAAUUAGUUUGAGCGUGCUAAUUUUCAAAGAAACGCGAUUAUUCACGGGAGUUUUUUUUUUUCUGAUAAAACACAAAGCCAAUAUAUGAGUAAUUUAUUUAAUCUAUGAGUUUUUAGACGGGUGCCAAAAUACACCUUACAGAGUGAUGGCUCUCCAAAAGAAGUAAAAAAAAAAAAAAAAAUUGUAAAAAAAUGAGACCAAGACCAACAUUGAGGAUCGCACAACUAAGUCAAAACGCCUGCAAUUUUACCAUCCAUGCUAUGGCCAAGUUUGAUAAUUUUCGAUUUUCAUUCAUUUGUUUCCUUACAUGGAGGCGAGACAAGGUCCAUCAAACCCAGUUACUGCGAACAUUUUCAGCCACAAAACAUAUAAAUUUGUUCAAGCAUUUAGUCAGGUUUUCUCACUCAAAACCUGUUCAAGCUUUGAGCCCACAAACAGUCGAGAUAUGGGUCAUACUCAUACCGCCUUUAAUGUUGACUCCAAUAUAACCAUUUCUGUUAACAUAUGCAGUCAUCAUCAAAAUUUUCACUAAAAACUUUCAGAAACAUUUUAACCAUUUUUUUUUUAUUAGGACCAAAGGAUUUGAAUUACGUCUAUUGAAUGCAAAGCUUCAGCACAUAUCAGCCGUUACCGAUGAGUCAGCUCGUCGUACCUUCAAAACUCGGGAUGUUACUGUGAAUCUUUCAAAAUUUGACACUAGAAUUAAAUCUCUUGCCCCGACGAUAAGAAAAGGAAAAUGCGUCCAUUUUAUGUUUCAUCAUAAGUUGACAAACAAUUGGAUAUUAACACCUGGGAAGAUUCAAUGGCGCACUAAACAUUUGCCGACUUAUUCUGUGAGCAGCUUCAAAGUCGAAGCGAACAUAACUACAGCAAAACGAAAUAAGUGAAUCUCUAUACUACUUGUGUAUCCUUGGAGGCGGGAUACACGGACGAAGAGAGAUUAAUUUGAUAAAAUUGAGAUACUUCCGGUAUUUGAAGGAAAAAAAAAAAUGAAUCCGCCCCGGUUAAGCUUGUUCUUCUUAUUCCACUUGCAAUAUAGUGUGUGAUUUACGAAACCUGCCAACAACACAGUGAGUGUGUUUGAAUUGAGAUGAUUUGAGAUAAAAUAAUUUAUUUCACAAAUUCUAAUAAUUUUUUUAUCUUCACAGUUACUUUUUUUAUCUCGCAUACAUCACAUCACAAAAAGUACUACAGUAAUUAUCUCAAAUAAACUUCUAUCCAAACAAACUCAGUAUCUUUAUCAACAUUGACCUCUAUCCUUCUCUUUUUGCGUAUACAGGAUUAAACCAAGCGAUAUAUCUGUAACACGGGGCCUAAAUAUCGAAAGCAUUCAAUAAUAUUCCGGAAAAAAAAGGGAAAACAACAAGAAACAGACAAAAUAUGCUACAUCCGUAUAGCAACUUCUGACAUUGAGGCUCUGGUCGGCCUUGGCCUAUUAAGAGAGGCACCCAAAAUAGCAACUAGUCAAAAAUCAUACUGUAACUAGUCUUCCUUUUAUGCUUUACGGAUACGUAAAUUUCACUUUCCAAUGUAAUUCGUACAAGCACUAAGCAGGAUCGGAGCACAAAUAGGGAAUAAGCGUGAAUUUUACAGGGCAGGUAAAGAACCACCCAGGGCCAGGAAGGGUGGAUUACUGGAAAGAUACCGAUUUCAAGAACCACCCUGGGGUUUGUUUGGAUUGGAUUUUAUUUUUUCAAAUUUAUUUGCUUACAUCAUCAUUACAAUUUCUAAUACACCUUUUUACCUUCCCAAUUACCUUUUUAUCUCACAUAUAUCACAUCACAAAAAGUGUUACGGUAAAAAUAUCUCUAAUAAUUCACAAUCCAAACAGACACCCAGAAUCGGAUUGUUGUGUAGGCUUUGUAGACAUACAAAACUUUUAAGCCAGAUGCGAGGAAAGUCAGCCAGCCUAACACGACCAUUUACAAAACCAUGGGACAUCCUAGACAGACUGGCUCAUCAUGUCCUUUAUCACACGUACCAAGGAGGCCAUGACGACCUUAAAUCUUGCACUAAGAAGACACUCCCUUUUUCAUAUGGAACUUGAUUUUAUGUCAUUAAGACGUGCCUUUACCAAAUCAUGGGGAGGCCGCGGAUACGGCAUACUAAAUAACUAUGGAAAGUGAUGAUGAAUUCCCAUAAAGUCAAGAGUUACUCCAACCAACAGGUUUUUAUCCAAGCACAAUAAAAACGCUUAAAAAAUUAAAAGGAAAGAAACCUUUGAGCAAAAGCAACACGAUUUCUUUUUGCAAGGCCGAGAUGGCAAAGUUCUCCACGCUUAACCAUUAUAAAUAAGACGUACAAUUGCUGCAUGUAAACAGAAAUAUAUUAUUGUAGCCUACGGGAACAAGAGGUCAGACAGAGUUCAACAAAAUCGCAAUACAUACAUGCAUACAUACAAUAUGUCCACAUACCCACGCAUACAUAUUCUAUGGAUGUGUUAAGACAAGCCAAACCUGCCUCAGAUGCAGCAACACGAGAAACACCUCCGUUGACUUUACUGUUGCUAAUAUGACCAUUGGUUAGAUAGUCUGUAACUUAUUUUGAACCGUUAACCUAAGAAAUUACUCACAAAAUUCAAUUGACCGAGGUACCAAAAAAGCUAGAGUGAACAAUCCCCAUAGACUUGCUUAAUCGAAUCUUGUUUGAUUUACCAAAAAGAUCACAGCAACAAGGGAAGAAUUGCUUAAAAAUCAAUGGGCAGACUCUUAGAGAUUUUUUUUUUUUUGAGUUGGGGGGAGAGGGGUGGUUAGGUUUAAAAAUGCUUCUAAAUUUAGAUUGAAAGAGAUUUAGUGCUUCUGUUGCUCUACUGAAGAUCAUCCAGACGAUACACCAUUUCCUAGACCUACUGGAAGUCUGGAACAAACUGUAAAUGAGAAAUGUAAAAUCAAAAUCAAACACUCCAGUGAUCAGUCAAGAUUGCAGAUGAAAAGAGAAGUGUUUACCUAAAAAGCAACCAAAUGAAACGCUGAAGGAAACGGUACUCAGCUCAAAAGAAAGAACAAAAAUACUAGGAGGGGGGAGGGGGGGGGGACGCGGGGAACUCUUGCCUGAAAAUCUAGCUGAUUAUUUUAAUUUUCCGGAGAGGUCGACCAUAACAUUAAAGUUGACAAAAAAGCAAUAGUAGCAGUUUCAACACGUAGGCGAUGUGGACCAAGACCAACUGCAGUCGCACCAGCCUCGACAAUCAUUCUCAACUCUGUCUCAGUGAAGUCUGAAAUGGAGUAAGGUCAACAACAAAUGAGAUAUCCAGGAUGUUCAUCCUGAAGAAAGUACAACCAACAAUAACUGAAAUUCUUGAAACUAGGUAAUUUUCAAGCACACGAAAGAAGCAACGCAUCAAAUUGAUAAAGCUAAGACUAUUAAACUAAUGACAGGUCACUGAAUGGCCUUCUCAUAUGAACUUAAACACAAAAGCUUAGUGCCAAUUCCAUAUAUCUGAAUGGAUAAAAAUGACAAUCAUCAUGCAUGUAUGCACUAUUCAGCAAGAUAAUAAAACUAAUUCCACCACUGCUGUACUAGAUUAUGUCCCAUUACAUUACAAAGACUAUUGCUUCUUGUCAAAAGCAAAGAAGUGUAGGAAAACGAACACAAAGACCCAAAGUGAUGGCUAUCCCAGAGAUCCAUUCGCAGUUUAUGUUAUCUAAAGUGAUUGCUGUCCUAGUGAUCCACUUGCAGUUUAUAUUAUCUGAACAAGUAAAUGUUAACCAAUGCUACACCACAAGUAUCUGCCAUAAUAACUAGAUUGUGGACAGGAUACAGUUUUAGAAUCUAAUGCAAACACAUUUCAACAUUCCUAAUAAAUAUGUAAAAAACUAAACAAACAAGUUCAACUCCUGAUUACUGCAGUGUUUUCAACACUGGUGAAACUUUCACUCAUCACUUUGGCGUCAGAUAGGAAGACUAUCUAAAAUGUCUAAGUGAGCAAGGUUAUGUAAAAGAGUUGUUACAUAACACCGCCACUUUGCCAGUUUGGGGGGAUGGGGUUGGAGAUAAAACUAAAUUUUCUCAAAAAAACUUUCCCUGAGAGAGGGAGAGAGGCAUGUAAAGAGCACUGACCUCCUUCAGGUCCAAUUAUCAUUAGCCCAGUUGACUCUUUUCUUAAGGUACUCAAAGCACCAAAAACAGGAGUAGCCUCCGCAACAGCUACGAAUGAUAGUUUUGAUUGACGAACCUAAAGCAUGGUUUAAGAUAAGAUGUAAGUUCAGAAAGACCAUACUUACAAGGCUUAUGUGUCAAAAUUUGAGAGAUAAUAACAUCAUAACCAAAGCAUAGAUAAGUAUGGUUUAAAAGGAACAGAAAAAUUUGACUUACAAGGGGCAAAACUCCACCAAUCUUCACAGGAGAGUUCAAAGUCAUUUCAUGCAGCCUUUGACCUAUUUACCAGAGCACCAUUUUGGGAAAAACAAAAAUAUCAUGACAAAGAGACUGAUGAUAAUACUUCACACAAAUUAAGUUAAUGCCAUCUUAAGUUAGCCAACUACAUUCAAAGCGCAUGGUUAAACUACAAUGGUGGUACCAAAAAGGUUAUGGUGAAACGUCAAUUACAUUGUUUCGAUGCAGCAAGAAUAACACGUUCUAAUCUGUCAAAUCGGUUAUCUGAAAUGGAUGGAGAACGCUCAGUCAACAAAGGCGUCACACUGCUAGCUCCCAGUUCCUGAGACAUGACAAAGGAGAAUAAGCAUGUAAUUUUAAGCAACUUAAAUUGAUAGAGAGAUAUUACCCACAUGACUGAUCAUUGAUCUAGACAUACUGUGCAUUUCUCUACAAGCCAAUCAGCUCGACCUCCCUUUAAAGUUCCUAAAAUCCAAAGAAAGAUUAAAGCAAGUCACUUGACAUUAUGGCAGGAAUGAUUUCUCAUAGACACAGGUGCUUUAGGUGUUCUUAAGGACCCACCAAAAGCAGCAAAGACAUGCCAUUGUGGGGCCAGAGGAGAUACUAACUUUGCCUUCUCCGCUGCCACAAAAUCAACUCCUGUGCGAUCAAUAUUCUGUAUGUGUCCUUCAACAAGACCCCCUUUGCCAUCAAAGAGCUCUAUCCUUGAAAAUGAAUGAAAGGAAACCAGCAAUAUAUACAACAGGUCAGCCAACUUGCAAGAAAAAUAAUGAUCAAUUUAACUGUGAGCAUCACAAAAGCCACAGAGUAAGGUUUAACACUUCAACCGAUCGGCUUUGCUUAAAAUUCUAGAAAUAUUCCAGGCAAGGCUUAAACUCUAAUAUUUCUCCACAUAGUUAUGUUCCUACCAAUAAUAUUCAACUUUUCAACUCCUUCAGUCAAAUGAAAUUCUUAAACUGAUAAUAAGCAUACUCAAGAGGAAAACACAUUAUUGAUGUAAGACUUGCAAUUGGAUAAUGCAAACGAGGGAGCAAAGAAAUGUGGAAGAAAAGAUGAAACUUCAUGAGCUAUACAAGAUAAAAUGUAAGAAUAGCUAAAAUCCUGCAUCAUUAACAUGUUUCCUACUGGGUAUUUCUCAAAACUCAAUAAGAAUAAUGAUACAUACAACUUUUGGUACAUUUUUCUGCAACGGUUAAAUUGGAAAUGGAAGAAGCUGAAAUGAAAACAUCCUCGAGAUCAAAACCUCAAAGAAAGUAUAAAGCAAACCACGACUUUGUUGUACGAAUAACAGGGUAUCCAAUUACGCUUGGAAGAGUCAAGUAAAUAAAGCAGCUGACAUGAAACACAUUCGGCAUGUGGAAGUAAAUGCUAAACUCAAAAAAUUCACUCUCGUGAAGCAAAGAUUGAAUUCACGUAAGCACAAAGUUGACCAAGUAUUAGGCUGGUACGGAGAAUACCUGUCGUUGAUGUUUAAUCGGAGGACUUUUGUCAUAUGCCAGAACUCGUCGCCUUGAACACGGACAAUUCCACCCCUGGAAGCGGGGAGGGUUUCGGAGUAGAACCGGGGGAGACGGCCGCGAGACUGACUGGUGUAAUCGGAAGAAGAUGAAGAAGAGAAAGCUCGGGGUCGGAGAGAAAAGGUGAUUGCCUUUUGCCGGGAAGAUGGAGAUAGCUUCGCUAGUAGGUUUACCAGACAAGGUCUCCAAACUAGGGUUUGCAUUUAGGAAUUUGUCGGGAAUAUUAAACACACAGUUGCUUUAAUACGUCCGACGUUCUGGACUGUGAUUUUUGUGAGCUUGAUGAUGAUGACAAGAGCAAAUAAAUAAAUAUACUAGUACAGUAGGAGUAUAAAUUCGCCCAACAUUCGACUAUACCAUAGUUAAAUUUUACUGCUUAGGCUCAUAGGAUUUUAUGAUGGCUAUUAGUAGUAUCUCAACCACAGCAAAACAGAGUAUGGAUGUAGCGGAGCUACAAUUUUCUAGAUAUCAAAUUUGAAGUUUAAAAAGUCGGAAUUUGUAAAAUUUACAAACAUUUGUAAGAGUAGCGUAAAUUUUGCCAGAGCUUAGUUUGUUUGGACAAGAAAUCACAGCUUCGAAGACGAUCUAAAUCUGGAUUUCAUGGUCGGAUAUUAACAGACCAGACUAAUUACAUGGUACUACCUCAAAUUCAUUCCAUGGAUAAUUUUUUACAUUCAUUUGGUUGCCUAAACAGGAAAUUGCAUUUUAUGUCCAGAACUAGCAUGUCUGCCUAAUAAAAGAACAACCUCGUUCUGCUACUACAGCCGGUCGGUCAGUUCCGCAGGGUCGCAGCCAUUGUCAAAAGUCAGGAACACAAAAGGGACUUCCCAGUCUUCCCCAAAAUAUCAAAAUACACCUUUGCGACCUUAUCACAAACACCUAAUGGGACUUCCCAGCUUUCCACAAAAAUUCUUGUACAUCCCUUUGAGACGUUAUCACAAGCGCCUCGAAGACCAAACUAGCAGGACCCUUCAGGAUUUUCAUCAGCUCUACCAUCACCUUCAAACCCGCCACCCAUCUCACACACCCUCUCCCACAUGCUCUUCUCCACAGGCACCACCGACAACCUCGGCUGCCUGAACAGGCCACAUCCUUGCAGUCCACUCUCUUUCUUCAUUUCCCCCAAGUCCACCGGCCUCCGCAUUUCGCCAACCGCCUUCACAUCCACCGCACUAUCACCGCUAUCAUCAGCGUACCAUUCACGGACAACAGAGACCACACCCACCACGCGGCGGGCUUUGGAGCCGGAAUGGUAGAAAAAGCAGAGAUCUCCAGUUCUCAUGGACUUCAUAUUCUUCUGGGCUUGCUUGUUCUUGACGCCGUCCCAUUUGGAUACACCACCAUUGGCUGCUUGGUCCUCCCAUGACCACUCCCCUGGCUCCGUUUUUAGCAGCCAGUAUUGUUUUUCUUUACCCAUUUCUGUGCUGUGAAAACUUUGUAGAAUUUGAAUUUCUCAGGAUAGGGGCUGGGAAUUUUCAGGGUUGGAUUCAGGAAAAGGGUGAUUGGACCUAAAGCACUAGCUUUACUACUGGUAUUUGUUAUGGCGGGAAAUCGGCGACGGCCCCGCAUUUUGAUUGAUUGAUUGAUUCCUUCCGCUUCUUAAUUUUAAUACUCCCUGUUCACUUUGAGAGUCCUAUUCCUUUUUCUACACAAUUUAAGAAAAAAUCGUUAAAUUUGUUGAAAAAGUAAAUUUAAAUUACUAUUUUUCUAAAAUACCCUCACAUUAAAUAUGGUACAACUUUAUGGGAAUUUGAAUUGAUGGUAAAAAAAGAAUCAACUCUCAUUAAAUGGGAUAAGUUUAUAGUAACAACUACUUACAUCGAAUAAGGGUAUUUUAGGAAAAUUAAAAUACAACUACAUUCUUCAAUUGGAAAGUGGACUACAAUUUGGGACAGAUGAAAAAGGAAUACAGGACUAUCAAAGUGGGACGGAGAGAGUAGAUAAUAUAUAUAAUUGGUUGAAAUCGAUUAAGUUCUAAGCUUAGUUACCAAAAUUUGAUGAUAAUUAGAUUGAUUAGAUAUUUCAUACUUUAGUGCUGUAAAUCCAGAAAAUAUUUAAAUAAAGGAUUAAUCACACUUUGCUCCUCUGAACUUUGGGUGUAGUUACACUUUACUACCCUCAACUUUUAAAAUAUACACUUUACCCCAUAAAAAACUAGUCAAAGUUAGGAAUGCCAAAAAAAAGUGAGUGCAAAUUAUUGUCCUUUUAUUUUUGAGAUUAUAACUCAUUUUAUUGCUAAAAGAUAUACAUCUUCUCUGUAAUAUCUACUGUACAAAAAAAAAUAUCAAACUAAUAAAGCUAAAAAAAAGGUUUACAUUUAGUUUAUUAUUCUUAAUAUUUUUCCUAUUGGAUACUUUAAAUAUAACAAGGAUUAGGGGUGCAAACGAAUCGAAUCGAGCCGAACUUUGGCCUAGUCAAGUCGAGCCUCCAGUUAAUUUUGUGAAGUUCGAACUCGAGCUCAAAAUGUCAAGCUCGAGCUCGAGCUUGACUCAAAUUCGAGUCGAGCUCGAGCUUAAAAAAUAAAAAUAAUAAAAAUAAUUUUUUUUAAAAAAAAUAAAAAAUAAUUAUUUAUUUUUAACAAUGAAUAAAAUAAUAAUUUUUUAAUAAAUAAUAAAAUAUUAGGGAUAUAUGUGUAAUUUUACUAUUAAAAUAAAAAAAUAUAUAUAAUUGAACUCGCGAACCGCUUGCGAGCCAACGAGCUUAAUGUUUUUGAGCUCGAACUCGAGUUCGAAUUCGACUUAAUUAUCUCGAGCUCGAUAUUGACCGAGCUCGUACUCGAGCCGCUCGCGAUCGACUCGCAAGCGGGUCGAUUCGUGAACACCCCUAACAAGGAUAAAUAACUCAAUGAAAACAAUAAAUACAUUUAGCAAAAUUUUGGAAAAAAGGGUACUGUUAAACUUGUUAUUUUAUUAAUUUUUUAUUAUUUUAGCUUAUGUAAACUGUUACAAUAAUGUUAUCAUCAUUUAUUUUUUUAAACUAGUCGAAAAUUAAAUACUUAACCCAAUUAGUUAAAAAGGGCUGAUAUGCCUUAUUUUUAAAUUUAGAGGAGGCAAAAUAUAUAUUAAUGUUAUGCGUUCUCCUUUGGCUACUGUAUUUAUAAUUGCUUAGGAUAUUAUCAUGAACUCAGAGAUGUCUCAUUUGAGGCUGUCAUGCCUCAACCAAUUAUAGGAUGACAUCUGCACACGAUGAUUUGUCUACUAGGCAGAUUCUAGUUGUGGUUCAAAUACAUGGAAUAAUUCCCACCUCGUGUAGAAAAAUCGCAAAUAUAUCAAAAAAAUGAAGUGAAAACUGUGGUAUUUUCUCGUAUGCUAGGAGAGCAGGCAUCACACUCAUUGCAGAGAGUGCAAUCAGAGAUUCAGAAGUGUGAGGGGGGGAGGUUCUAAAUUUCUACUAGGGGUGGCAAUUUUCGACACGACACGAACCUAACACGAAAUUAAUGGAUUUGGGUUGAGGUUUCGGGAAUUCGGGUCAGAAUCGGGUUGGACCCGAUGAACCCGAAAAGAAAACAGGUCAAUUUCGGGUCAACCCGUGGUGACCUGAUAUGACCCGAUAUGACCCGUUUACGAAUUAAAAAUAAUUUAAUAAACAUAAAAAUAAUUUUAUCUAACUAAACUAAGUUAUUCUUUUUUUCAAAGGCAUUAAUUACUUAAUUCUAAAUGAAUUUAUUUAAUUUGUGUGAAGUUGAAAUUAUUAUAUUUGGACAAAUAAUAUAUUAUAUUAUUUUUUACUUUUAUACUGUUUUAAUUUAUUUUAUAUUUUGUUUGAGAUAAAACACUUUUACGGUGUUUAAUUUAUUUUAGAUUUGGUUUGGAAUUAUUUAUUUAAAUUUUUAUUACUUGAUUAUGUAAUUAGUUUUGUGAGAAAUUGAUUUUAUUAGAAAUUACAGUGAUAAAUUAAUAAAUUAAAAUUAAGUUUCGGGUCAUUUCGGGUCGACCCGCCAACCCGCCAACCUGAAAUUUUCGGGUUCGGGUCAGCAUACCUGACCCGUCACGGGUUGGCGGGUCGGGUUCGGGUCAACAGAUUUUCUGACGGGUUGACCCGAACCCGACCCGCCAACCUGAUUUAGACCCGAAUUGCCACCCCUAAUUUCUACUAGGAACUAAAUAUGAGGCCAAGAUCUUUUCUUUUCUAAUGGUCAUAAUUUUUAGGUCAGGAUUUGGCGUGACUCAGAUAUGCAGGUUAACCGUACAAGAUUAGAUGGCUGGCAAGGUCAAGUUGCCAUUACCUCACCAAUUUGAGCCAAGUAGACGAGUUGGAGCCCAUCUUCUUGCUACGGAUUUUUUUGAGAAAAAUGCAGUUUUGGUACCUAAACUAUGACGCAGGAGCGGUUUUAGUCCCCAAAUUUUGGACGAAAGCAAAUGUGGUACCCAAUCUUUCAAAUUUUGAGCACAUUAAGUACCUUUGACGAUUUUUUCUCAAAUUGCCAUUGGAAAAAGUCAUGUGACAGUCACAUGUCCGGCCACCAUUGUAUGAAAAAUAGCCAAAAAAAUGUCAAAUGCCAUUCUAAUACUAAAUAUUAAAUUUAAGGACUAAUAACGUAAUAAACAAAAAAUCCAAGGACCCAAGGACUAAAUAACAUCAUGAGUCAAUUAAAAAAUAAAAGAAGAAGACAACAUCACAUAGUGUCUGUUUCGUUCCUCUUGCUUCACUCUCAAAUAGAAAACCCAAUUACCAUCCGGGUUACUUUGGGAAAGUUGGUAUGAGGUACUUCCACAAGCUCUGUAACAAAUUCCAUUGCCUCAUUGUCAACAUCGAAAAGCUCUGGUCUUUGGUUCCUCAAGAAGCUAAGGACAAAACUACCAAGGACAACGCCCCUUUGAUUGAUAUCACCCAGUUCGGAUAUUUUAAGGUUAUGGGUAAGGGAGUUUUGCCUGAAAAUCAACCUGUUGUUGUUAAGGUCAAGCUGGUUUCCAAGACUGUUGAGAAGAAGAUUAAGGAAGCUGGUGGGGCUGUUGUUCUCACUGCUUAGGUUGUUUUGUUUCUUGGAUUUACUAAGUCUGAGGUUCUAUUAGUAGUAUUAUAAUUUGGCACUUUUUUGGAUUUACCCCUUUAAUUUUGUUGUUAUGAAAUGAAUGUUAUUGGACCAUUUUUAUGGAUGUUUUUAAUGUUAUUCAGCAGAUUAAUUUCUGCAUUAUGAAUGGAAAAAAAAGAAUUCUUUGGGAUUGAUGUACUGGAAUUGGAGCUCAUUUGUGACUUGAUUAUGUACUGGAAUUAGUCAAGUACAAGCCUUGUUCAAGCAUGGAUAUUACGUGAUUAUGCUAAACAAAAGACCAUGCCCUGUUUUAACAUGGUUUUAUACUAAGAGAAAACGCCGAACCCACUAGUUUUCCAGUGCACAGAAAAUGGCUGCCUGCUUUAAUUGUUUCGUGAGAUGAAGUUAUGUAAGCGUUGCUUCCAUCUGAACUUCUAACCAACUGAACAGAUUGCUGCAAUUUCACUUCUACAUUUUUGUUUUUCAACCAGCCUAAAGUCUUGUUGGAAGCUUUGGGUCCAAUAAACUCUAGCAACCUAGGUCUAUCAUGCACCAAAACAACCUUCUUUUCUGGAAAAUCAACAGCAAUUUUUGCAGCAAGUUCAACUCCAGUGAACUAAAAUCUUACAAACAAUUGCAGAGUCAAAACCACUACAAAAUAUAUGUCCAAUCCAACUGGUUAAUCCAACAAAAGAUGACUUUCCAGUAACACGGUGAUGUUCCAUAAGGUACCAAAUAUGAUGCAGUUGUACAAAAGCAUUGUUACAAGGGAUAAUGUUCAUUAAGGUAGAUUCACUUCACGCAGCCUCAAUUUCAUUAGCCAUUGGAAGAUCCCCCAGCAGAUUGACCACCAGUAAUAUUUGUUAUUGUACAAGACUUUGUAUCUCUUAUAUGAAAAUUGGGAACUUGGACUGGAUCAGGUUGACUCAUAUAUGGCAUCUGAGGCAAUGGAAUGUUGGACACUUAUGCAAGUUAAGUUCUGGAGUUGGAGCAGACGAAAUUAUAUCUUCAGUAGCUGCCAUGUUUUGUCGUUGAGAUCUCUGUGCCUUUCUUUUCCUCUGAUUUGGAAGCACAAUGUUUUCCUACAUCAACCAAAAGAGAUAUUUGUCACUUUAAAUAAAGUAAGAGAAAACCAGUGCCACAAGUAUAAGAAAUACUACAAGAGAGAGUACAGAAGUUCUUUUUGCUCCUUUUCUUGCAAUCGUCUUAGCAGGUCCACUACAUGUGUUUACCUGCACACAAAUUAUUAACUAACUUAAUAUGGAUAACAUAAUGAAUAUUAUAACUAAUGAAACUUAGUUUAAUUUUACUUACACAUUGAUUGUCUACCGUUGUAUCAGCACCAGUUUGAGAUGAGGCUUCAUUAAGAGAUAUUUCAAAUAGCUCAGUGCAAGAUCCUACUUGUUGGCUUGCACUUUGAGUAGCUUGAGUGCCUUCAAUUGCAGCAUUUUCAAGUUGCUCCUUCCGAAUAUUACAAGACCUUUUGUUAUGCCCUUUCUCACCACAGUAGUUACACUUAAUCACUUGCCCAACUCUAUUCAUUUUAUUCCCUUUCUCUUUUUUCUGUUGUAUUUCAUCUUCACCCUUUUUCCUCAGUUUUUUGGGCCUUCCUGGUGCUCUUCCAUAUGUUGGUGGAAGUGGAGGUGUAACAUGAGUAUGUGUCCAAUCAUGCUCCCCAUUGACAGGCAAAAUGCAAUUAGCAUAGCACUUGAGAUAGGCUUCAACACUAUAACAUUGAUCAAUAAAGUCCAUAGGGUCUUUACGAGCUAUCCAGAUUGCUGAAAUUGCAUGGCUGCAUGGAAUCCCGGUAAGAUCCCAUUUCCUACAAGUGCACAUUCUCUCUUUAAUAUUAACACAAUAUGUUUCUCCAUAAGGGCAGCCAACCUCAUAAUCAUCAUCAUUUGAUUUAAUAGGAAAACAUUGAGUAGCCAUAUCCAUGUUUUUCUUUACUCUUUUCAUGAUUCUUGGGCAGAAUUUCAAUUUCUUCCACUUGCUCUUAGCCAUAUCUCUGUUUUGCUGCAAUCUGGUCAUUACGUAGUGCCUCAAAGAUUCCAUCAGCCCCACAAUAUGCUCCUUUCUAGCAUGUAGAAUCUUGCUGUUAAAUGACUCACAUAUGUUGUUUAGCAACAUGUCACACUUGGAAAAGGUUCUAAAGUGUGAUCUAGUCCACUCAAUAGGCUGCUUUGUACCCAACCAUUUCGCAACCUCAAUGUCAAUUUCUGCCAAUUCCCUCAUCUUUGUACUGAAUUUUGCAAGUGUGGUUGCUUUAGCAGCUUUCCAUAGUGCACGUCUCAAAGUUGUUCCUUUAAAUCCAGCAACUGAAAAAUUACUGUGUAGAUGUUUAACACAAAAUCUAUGGUCACAAUUUGGAAACACUGCCUCACAUGCUUGUAUGAUGCCUUUUUGUUUGUCACUCAUUAUAGUCCAUUCAUAGUCUCUCUCCAUUUGAAGAUCCUCUCUCAACAAUGUUAGAAACCACAUCCACGAAUCUUUGGUUUCCCCCUCAGUUGCAGCAUAAGCAAUGGGAUAAAAUCCAUUGUUAGGAUCAACUCCCACAGCAGUUAGCAAUACCCCUCCUGCUGGACCCUUUAAGAAUGUCCCAUCUAAGCCAAAAAUAGGUCUACAAGCAGCUAGGAAUCCCUGUUUAACCCCAGCAAAACACAUGUACAAUCUUUGAAACUUUUGUUGUCUUGUGACCGCAUCACAAUACCCAUCUACUACUUUCAUAAUCACAGUAGUUCCAGGGUUACUCCUCUUUAUUUCAUUGAUAUAAUCAGGCAGUUUCUUAUAGUGAUCAGUCUCAUCCCCUUGCACAAUUUUUGUGGCAACUCUUUUUGCUCUAUAGCCUUGAUACUUGCUUAAAAAGCAUUUAUUUUCCUUCAUUAUCUUAUUUGUAAAGCUCUUAAGAUCUAGCUUCGGAUUUUCUCUAAUUGUCUCACAGUAAUUUUUUGCCACCCAACUUGAUCUUACACUUUCAUUAUGGUAAGAGAACCCACACUUGUGUUGCUUUUGAAAGGUUCUAACUUGCACACUGCCUUCCCCACUCAACUUUCUAGCAUAGAUGUACCAAUCACAACCUUCUCUAGGACACUUGGCCAUCACUUUAACUUUGUCAUGUUUAACAAACUUAAAUGGCCUUUCUCUCUUUAUAUUCCAGGUUCUGACCGCUUCCUUAAACUCCUUGAAAUUGCUAAAAUAUUGUUUAAGUUUAAUUUUAGGAUUAUGCAUGUCCUUGGGAUUAAACAUUGGUGGUUUCGUACAUUGUUCAUCACCACUUCCAUGUAGACUUUCAAAAUCAGAUUCAGAAUCUGGCGUAGCAUCUACAUCAGAGUUAUCAACAUCACUCUCAGAAUCACUUCCUAUAUCCCUCUGAGCUGCAGCAAUCAUUUUGCCUUUAGCAAUCAUUUUUCUUUCCUCUUCUACUUGAUUCUCAAUCCCCAACCAUUCUACAUUCUGAUCUACAUUAUCUUCAUAAUCAUCAUCAUCCUCUUCCUCCAUCUCAUAGUCCGAGUCCUUACCAGAAAAUUCCCCUGAGCUAGCAUCUGAAUUGCAACCAUUGUGUUCUUCAGAUUCACCAUUUAUACCUCCCUCUAAAACAUAAUCAUCAUCGUAAUCAUCCUCCUCAUAAUCAUACCCCAUUUGUAACCUCAAAAUUUCAGCAAAAGAAACCUCAAUGUAUAAGUCAACAUGCCUACCAUAAUCUAGAUAAUCUGCACAAUAAGCAUAUAAUUCCUUAUCAUGCCAAAGCCUGCGAAAUCCAUACUCUUCUACAAGAAUAUGGUACCUUUUAUCGCCGUAGACCCUUGCUUCAUUUUCAAGCAUUCUAUCCAUCUCAAACAGACUAAUCCCAGUCACUUCUACAUAAUCAAACACACAUAUUUCCCCUCCCUCAUAAUGUGCAUCAGGCCCAUUUAUACAUUUUCCCCAAAUAUAGCAUCUCAUGGUGAUUUUAGUGCUACCAUUUCCUAUAUUUCAAGAAGAAUAGUUCAAACAGUUAAACGAGAGCACAUAUCACUAUUAUGUAUGUAAGAAAAUUAAGACAUAUUGAUCAACAUUCAAAUUAAUACUAAGGGUUUAAUACUUCAACAAAACCACUUAUAAAAUGCCGAUUGCAAUGCAAAAAAAAUUUGAUAUUUUAACUACAACUAACAAAUAUUGAAACAUAAAAAUGGGAUAUACAGUAGAUUAUACUCUGGAUUAAAACUAUUUUUGUAAUUUCUAGGAGAAUCCAUUGUCCAUUUGCUUUAACAUUCCCAAAGAUUAGUUUUUUCAGAUGAUAAAUGAUAUUUUGUUACUUCUAAUUUCACCCUAAACUCAAUAUUGCUGUAAAAAUUAGAUGAGGUCAGUCGUAUUUACUUACCAUCAUUUGGGGGUGGCUCAUUAUUCAAUUCUUCGCUUCUGAUUGACAUAUCGGUUCACAAUUGUUUGAUGCUCCCCAGAAUCUGCCAAGUUUUUUCGAAUUUUUGGAGCCAACUUGAAUUUUUGUUGAAGUUCGGUUCUUGGGUUUUCUAUUUGAGAGCGAAGCAAGAGGAACGAAACAGAUACUAUGUGAUGUUGUCUUCUUCUUUUAUUUUUUAAUUGACUCAUGAUGUUAUUUAGUCCUUGGGUCCUUGGGUUUUUUGUUUAUUACGUUAUUAGUCCUUAAAUUUAAUAUUUAGUAUUAGAAUGGCAUUUGACAUUUUUUUGGCCCUUUUUUAUACAAUUGUGGCCGGACAUGUGACUGUCACAUGACUUUUUUUGGUAGCAAUUUGAGAAAAAAUCAUCAAAGGUACUUAAUGUGCUCAAAAUUUGAAAGAUCGGGUACCACAUUUGCUUUCGUCCAAAAUUUGGGGACUAAAACCGCUCCUGCAUCAUAGUUUAGGUACCAAAACUGCAUUUUUCUCGAUUUUUUUUCUAGUUCUUUCACUUUGACCUUCAACUUUGCGAUUCUCCUUUCUUGUCUUCUUACUUCUUCUUCAUACGCAUCUCUUUGCUGUUCAGCUACAUUAAUUCUUUUCAGAAGCCCAGGUAUGAUCUCCGUUGACCAGCUGCACAUCUCCUUGUCAAUCCAUUGCCAAAAUCUGCAGCCACCAUCCGCGCACACCGCAAAUCUCCGCCCAGGAUUUCUUGAGGUCCACGAAGUUAUCACCCUCGACAUUUUCUCACACCUGCACAAUGGGAAAGUCGGAUUGUUGGUUUCUCGCAUGCUUCUAGUUCAACAACUUCUUUGGCUGCAAUGGAGUUUUUCUUUGUUCAAGUUCGGGAAGAAGUCCCAUUUUAUCGAGUGGAACACAGCUCAUUAUGGACAAAAAUGCCCUUCGUAUUCGGCAUACAUCUCACGUGGUCGUAGAUUCCGUUGGUAUUAACUGCUGAAUUUGACAGAAGGUCUAACAUUUUAUACUUUGGAUAGAUCGGGAGCCAAAAGUUUACUUUUAAUUGUUUGGGAGGCAAAAGUUCAUCCGAGUAAUAGUUUGAGGGCCACUAAGACUUUUUGCCCUGUAAAGAAUUCAACCCCAAAUCUGACACCAGAAAAGAUUCUAACGGUCUUUUUUGAUCACUGGCCAACUCCAAGGAUUCUGAGAUACUUGUUUAAAGAUGUUAACCUGACUGACUAUAUUAUAUAUCUACAGCUGUACUUAUGCUUGGGGUAAAUUUUGCUUUUUUUUUUUUUUUGUUAAAAGAAAAAUGAUGGAGAAGAGACCACACAAUUGGCAGGUAAGAAUAAGGCAAUAAGCAGUAGGGUAGCUCACCUGUUGUUGGUAAAAUAGCAUGCCAAUGAAGGCUAUUUUACCAGGCAAAAGAAAACGUCGUUUACAGGCCCAUUGUUCAUAUCCGGAAUUUUACCAGGCACCCAAAAAAGGAAGAAAAAGGAAAAAGACUAAUUAGAAUGAGAAGAAAUUAUUUGAAUUACACCUGCUCACACAUUGACCUUUAUAUUAAAGUAAAUUCUAGUAUAUUGUAACUAAAAACUAUGCGGAUAUCAGGCAAAUGAAUGAAUGAUUGUGGGAUUAAAGUUUCGCCAUUAGAUUUCUUCACGUCUUGUUUAACCAAAAUAAUUGACAUAUGUAUAUGAUUACUUAGAACUGUAAUACGUUCACUGACCAGUCAAUUUCAAUCUCCAAGAAGAGUCUUCUGCUUCUUUUUUCCUUAUGGAUGAAGAUUUCUUCUACUUUUUUUCUAUCGAAAUUAAGAAGAGUCAUAGAGCCAAGAAUUUUUGCUAUUGGCGAAGCUUGUCUGCCCAUCAAUCCCCUGCCGCCAUUCGAUUCUGUUUCUAAUAAGAAGGGAAAAACGUUUCGCUGCUCAUUGACCUAAUCAGCUACUUGACCCUUUCAACCAAUUAAUAUUAUUGAUGACGAAUAGAUAGGCGAAAUCUGUGUCGAAGAUGAAUAGUUAUUAUUUCUUGGUCAGUGAGUCAUGUCGAUUUACUAUUUACUGAUAUAUGCUCUCUCACGAGAUCAUCUAUCUAUCUGGCUCACAUCUGCAAACCAAUGGCUGAUCGACUUGCAUGAACCGGCAAAUAUAAAGAACGACGCAAACGCAUGCUCUCUCGUUCAUCCAACCACAACCACGACCACGCUGAAUUCAAACUUCUAAGAGCCACCAGUCACAAACAUGGAAAUCAAAGUCAAAGAUGGCAAGAUCCUUGUAAUUAAUGCAACGUUAUGGGCCAAUAUUUUGCCCUUCUGUAGUAGCAUAACCAGCACAACAAACCAUGCAGUGAAUAUAAAUCCAUAUGCCCGGCCAGAGUCGUUAAGAUUUUUUUUUGGUGACCAUUUCUCGCCCGCCGGUUGUUGCCAAUUAAUAUAAAUUAAAUCCAUCCCCUUAAUGAUAACGUCAGCUCUUAGUCUUUAGAUAGCAAAAUAGCUGUCUCCUGGAGACCAAAUUUUUCUAGCAAAUGCUAGAAUUUUCAACUUUUGUAUCUCUAGAAAGUUCAAAGUUAUGAAGAAAGAAGAAAAGGUUUGUCCCUUUGCAAUUUGUCAGAGAUGUGUUAUAGCUGACUAUUAAAAUGGACAAUAUAACUUCGUGGUUGAAUGCUCGAAGUCAGAGUUCUGCGUCCCAUGAAUUUUCUUUCUGAUUAAAUGAAACAGGUUUAGGGUUGCUGUGCAAUAUGAGACUCCAGCUUAGUAGACGAAUUGGAUAAAUUUAUGAGGUCAGCCUUAGCACGAAAGAUCCGGUCCACUGAUGCCGGUCUGGAGCAUUAAAACAUAACCCCCCCAAGAAACAUGGAACAGCAACGCAUAACAGUUCAGUUCAGCUCAUUGAUUCCAACCAAAUACUAACUGCCAUCGGAGGAAAAAAAAAGAAAAAACGAAAGUGUUUUAAGAAGGCAGCAAGCUAGCUUGUCUUGUGAAGUUGUGAUGGCCAGGGAUCAUAAAGCAUGGCAUAGCGAGCCACACUACACACCAGGCAUAUUGGGUGCAUUAAUUUUGGUUGGGGCAAAGUGAGUGGAAGAACUAGCUGGAACGGCUAUCAUUUGGUUUCCUAGUAUGAUUUUGAGCCUCGUGAUCCAAAAUAAUUAGUGGAAGGAAAUGUCUUUACUUAGUAUCAUCACAUUAAAUGGUAAACUUUCAACUUUGGUCCGUUAGAUUUUAGUAAUAAAGUGCAUGCCAUGGCAAAGGACAAUGUGUAAUUAAAGUUGUAGUUGACGAAUAUAUUCUUGGCUUUAGGCGCUCUAAAUAUCUUGUUGCUGGGCUUUUGCGGUCCUGGCCAAUAAUCACCCGAGUUGGAAUUGGAUAAAACAUUAGUAUUAUUAUCAUGCCGACCGUAGAUCUACGAGAAACACGAGGUAUGCCGUCUUGAUUAGAUGCAGAGGUGUGCCCAUGUCAAAGAACAACAUAAAUCUGUUGAUGCAUCGAGUCCUGUAAAACGGAUAGGUGGCUUUGAUAUCCUAUACAGUCAAAUUAAUGAGCAAGUUUUGAAUUUGCACCAUGCAUCCCAAUCCGGCAAGUAAUCAAGACAAAUGUUUACCGGGUACCCAAGAUACAUUCGCAUUGAUCACAAACAACCGAGACUAUAUAUGAUGUGUAGAAGGAUCAUAUACAAUAUAUAUACGCACAAAUGCUCAUGCAUAAGACAUGAGAAAAAUGAGGGAGUAAGAACAAAGAUAUAUACUAUAUCGUCAGGGCUGCUUUUGCCCCUGCGUGUAUAUAUAGUCGAGAUGAGCCUCCAGUGUUCUUCUCAUCAAGCACUCAUCUUCUCCAAGUCCUUCGCAACUCUCCUCUUUAUCUACCUUCUCAACAUGAUCAUUCUACGUACAAGACCAAAGACACAGAUUAAUUACUAGCAUCAAAAUAUGUGUAUGAACCAGUACUCGAGCCAAAAUCAGAAACAAAUAAUAAUAAUAAUAAUAAUAAAGAUGACCAUCAGAUGAGUUGAUAUGCAUCAUACCACACGAUGACCAUGAUGAGUUUCCAUCGGAGUUACGUCCUGAAAUGUAGCCACCGGCCGGGCAACCGCGUAAGAUAGGGUAAGAAAAAGUAGAAGGGAUACGAUGCAAAGGGUGCUAACCUUGGACAUUUUUGUGAUACCUAGAUAGUGCCUAAUAUUCUAUAUAUCUAUCUUCUCCCAAGAAGGGUAGGCAAAGAUAUGAAGACUGUUGAGGGCAAUAUAUAUGUAUAUUUAUAGGGAGGGAGAGGAAAGAGGGGCUUGCUGGGGAGGAUGUGAGAUGGGUAGUAGUUUAUCCGGAUGCUGAAAGUAACCCGGACGGCCCUGAAUUUGUUUGACAAAUGCUAGAAAAAUGCUUGGCCUAUCUUUUUCAUGGUUGAAUAAUACGACUACUACAACUAUGAUGAAUAAUAUGAACUAUGAAGACCUCUAGAAGGUUCAUGAAUGGUGUAAUACUCUAUUGGAUGGAUUAGUCAAAAUGGAUGAAAUAUGUAUGUGAGCAAGGACUUGUUAUCUAGAAGAGACAUUUGGCCGAGUGUUUCAGGUUUCUGGGAUGUUGCCUUUUACACGGAAGUAUCCACAAGCAAUUGACUGCGGUUAAGUCGGAAGGUUCUAUCUGUAUGCUCCUUCUAAGCAGGGAUGCCACGUACCAUCACCAUGCCAUUUAAAAGUAAUCCUGCCCACAACUUAAUUUGGAAAAUUAGAUCAGCUUAAUUAGCAAUUUCUUUCCUAUUUUGGGCUUUCAUAUUUGUAGUACAAUCUCUCAUUUGCACAUUUUUUAAGUUGUGCGCUGUUUUCUUGAAAAGGUGAAAUGCACGUGGAAAUGGAAAACUUCAAGAAUAAAGAGCAGCGGAAUUAAUGGAAAGUGUACUAUUUCAUUCUAGCAUUCAUUAAGCUCCCUGAUUUGUUACUUUUGAAUUUUUUUUUAUCAGACUUUUGAAGUUAGUUAAUUAAACUUAAUCCCAAAUUUAACUCCAAAAGUCGACAACUCUUGAAACAAACUUGAUUUGUUACUUUUGAAUGGUACGAGAUAUCUUUGAAUUGGUUAGACUUGAGAGAAGAUCAAUAGAUUACGUACAAAUGAUUUAAUUUCAUGGAGAAAAUCUUCAAAACUCGGUGAAAAGCAGCAAUUAAUGCAAGGACAACAAUUAAAAAUGACAAAUACGGAUGCAUAAGUGCUAAAAACCAAUUAACAUGUUCAUGAUGAUGCCCAAUGUCCUUGAGGUGCAACAGCCCACAAUGAGCUACACAUAUGCCCGCACUGAUCAUGAUGAAGUCUAGCAUGCAUGCUCCUGCUCCUCAGAGAUUCUGAGAGUUGACCGGACCACGGGGAUCAUAACCCAUAAUGAUUCAGUUAAUUACUAGCACCGAGUGAUUAUUAUCUUGUAUUAAGGAAAGAUCCAAUUGCAUAAAAUGGCUAGUUCUAACAAUGCAAAAGUUGACCAUGAGCCAUACACACACACAUACAUACAUAAACACAUAUGGUGGGGUAGGUUUAAAAAUUAAAAGUUAGAAUGUUCGUUAGGAUGAUAAGUGAGCCAUAAAAGGUGAUGGAAACUUUUCUGUUUUGUCAGAAUUUCAACUUUAUAACUCCACGUUAAUCUUGUCACCACUAUGACUGUAUCUUUUCAACCUCCACCUGAUCAGUUUCUUGAGGUACGAACAGACAAUUCUAGACAAUUCUGCAAUUGUCCCAUCAAAAUGCCCUAACACACACACACACACACACACAAAACGUAGUUGAUCGAGGAGGAAACAUGCAACCUGCGGUGGAGGUUUGAAGGUUGAGUUCAAUCAUUAUUAAUGAGGUGCCGCCAUUUGAUUAUGGACUGCUAGAGAUUCUUGGUGGAACCAAUGGUUAUAAAACUUACAAUACAUGUUUUGUGGCCUCAAUCAUGCAACCUGUGAAGCCUUUUGCCGCGGUCGAUGGUUAUUGCUAUCGGCCGCUCGUACAAAUACCAUUAGUCUCAAUCAUCAUGCAUGCGGGUCUCUGCUUUUGCCCGGACGUUUGUGCUGACUAGUGACUACACACGCACAUACAUAUAUAUAUAUAUAUAUGUAUGUAUAUAUACAAAACAAAAACGAAAAAGAAAAAGGAGAUUGCAGAAGCAGAAAACACAAUCACAACAGUUACACAAGUCCUUUCACCACUUGUGAAAUGCAGUUUCAGGUUGUCGGAAAAAUUUGUUGACCGUACUCUGACUUGACAAAAGAAUAAAGAAAAAGAGUAACAGGAAGAACACUUCGAUUAGGAAAAUUUGGCUGGUGAUUUCAGCGGGCAUGCAUGGGCUUGCAUUUUGCGGAUAGAUACGUCUCUGCUGAACUUGUAAUAACACAGCCCCCGAUUCCAUUCAUUGGCCAUCUCUGAAUAGACAUUAAUCAUCUUAUAAAACUGGUAAUCUUUGUUAGCUCCACAGCCUAUCCAUACCCAAUGACCAACUUUUGUGAACAAAUUAUUUACCUCCUAAUUCUCCACGCACUACUUGGAAGUAAGGGUGGAUUUGGAGAGCCCUUUUUUAUUUUUUUUUAAUAACUGCAUUUUGAGUUUCACCUGUGUAUAAAACAAUUAUCGAUUUAGUUCAAAGCGGUAAGUUUGACAAGAAAUUAUCAGGCUGUAUCUUCCAUUGAACUGAAUUUAUUAGGUAGUGCAAGAUGCACAGAGAAAGUUCAAGAGACGAGGCAAAAGCCAUGCAACAAAACCCAAUGCUUAAACGGAGGCAUUAGAACCAGCUGUUAUAAGCAUAAAAAGGAGCAGAAAAAUAUAGAAUUUUGUGACACUGAUGAAAGUCAAUCUGCAGAAAAAAGCAUAAUGGAGCUAUUUCGAUCGCACUCUCAAUACUCAAGUGUUAUCAGGAUACAAUCGGUGAAUGCACGUUGCACAACCUAUACACCACUCGAAAACCUGUUUAUUAUGGAUGCUAGGAAUGAAGCCCUAAGGAUUCACUGGGUAAUAUUAAUCUGUCAAGCCUUAGAAAUAAGAAAUACCUAGUAGGGUCAGACUGAGAGCCACUGAGAGCCACAGCAGGUACAUAAUUCAAAAUUUUAGAUAGCAUCUCUAUGGUUAUUUGAUCUCAGAACAAUACGAUUACAGCUAACAAGAUGGCCAAAUUGCCAAGAAAGGAACCGAAAGCGCCAAGUUCAAAAUCUUUUUUCCUUCCAUAAAUAUCUCAAAAAACUCUAUGUUGCUUAUGACUCUACAAUACCAAAAGUCCACAUGACAAUUAAAAAGACUGGAGCAAAUCUAAUCUGAAGUACACUUACUGCAGCAGAACUCUAAGCAAAUUCAAUGCUAUUUACAAGAGACGAGCAAGAAUUAUAAAUUAUUACUCCAAAAAGCUACCGAACCUCCCCAUCCUCAUCAAUUUCUCCACCCCUGUACUCAUCA